UACCUUCGUACACAAUUACUCAAUCCACCGUAAGGCUCUUUAAUAGGAAACAAGUGUGACAACGGCAAGCCUCUUUUUUUUUUCUUUUCCCUCCUCCCUCCUAAACCACAGAGUCAAAUAGCUCUAAUAGAGAUGAAGCUUGAUAGAUCCGCCCAGGUGUAGGUGAAAUGGUAGAGCCUCAGGGGUAAUAGAUGCUGUGCUCUCCUGCUGAAGUUUAGCACUUUGUCCUGACUGGCUCACUAGCAGCAGUGCCAUGGGCUGCUCCUUGUACAGUUAGAAAGUCAACAUGCUUCUUGCCGCUCACUUUUAUGCCUAAUCCGGAGGGCAACCUGAAGCUAGGUAAGAACUGCAGAACAGCCCUUUGACUUCAGCACAUGGACAAAGGACAACAAAUGCAGUAAGUAGAAUAUUUAUCUUUCCUUCUUUUACUUGGGAAUUCAUUAAGGGUGUUUACUCUCAGGGAAUCCUCUAAAGACUGUGCAAAAAUGAACCAGCAAAAAAACCUGUGUUCAUAACCCUGUGGAUUUCCUCCAGUUUCGUUUUGCACAGUGCCCUGGCACUGUCACUGCAGCUUAAAUACUCCAUGAGUGAUUCCUCAUUCAGAAGGUCUUGAAACUGAAAUGUGGUGCUAAUAAUAAUGCUAAUUCAAGCCCGGAGCCUGGCAUAUUAACUGCUAUUUCUGGGUGAAAUAUCCUUUAUUACUGUCAAAAAUGAUGGUGACAAGUGCUUUGUCACAGUUCUGAGAAUAGAAAAAAUAAUGUUUACAAAGCUCAAACCCUUUUUUGAAAAUGGAUUUCGGCUUUUAUGCAUGACUAUAUUGUUACAUCAUUGUUGAUACAUUAAUGUGAGGAAUUUUCCUGUAAUUUUGGCUUAACAAAUUCAUUCUACAGAUUUGACUCUCGCCAAAGAAGUGAUCCUGAAAACUCUAAAGGCAGAAUUAGAUUGUAGCAACAAUGACAAUGAUAAUGCUUUUUGUGAAACAAAACAAAACAAAACAAAAGGUCAUUUGUCUAAUAGCCUAGGAAGAGCUAUUAAAACCAGAUGUGGGAAAUCUCAACUUUGACUUUUUGGUCUUUCAUGCUUGGUUUAAAGCAGCCUUCACAUUGCGUUUACUUUGCAUUUACAACUUUGGAUUCACCAUUAAACUAUGUUUGAACUUGAAGUUCAGAUUUGAUCUAAGUAGAGCCGUGUUCCUUGAGCCCUCCACUCUGAAUUUUACUUGGCUAUGGGGAAUCUUUUUACUACUACACCAUAUAUCUUGAAUUGUGUUAACAAGCUAACUGCGGUGGACUUUCAGGUGGAGUGUCAGGCAGUGUAGAAGAAUGUGUUUGCUGUUCAAAUGGAUGAUGCUCUGCGUAUGAAAUAAACACAUAGAACACAUGCCCUUACAAAGACUCCAGUUAUGAUACUUAAAUUAAUCCUUCAGGAAAAGGAUGCAAUAAAACUUACCACAACAAUAUAUGUAUUUAUGAUCUCUUGAGUUGAUUUUUAAAAUUUUUGUUAUGUACUUGAAAAAUGAGUCUGAAUGGCGUUGUCAUCUCAAAAGACAAUACACAUGUUUAGAGUCUUGAGACAGGCAAACUUAAACAAAACACUAUCACAUUGUUAAAGUAAUUCCCCAUUGGCCAGUGUUUUGUUUUUGUUUUCUAACUAUUAUAGAUGGACAUCAUUGAAAAUGAUGAUUUAAAAUCCAUGACAGUAGAAUUCUGAUGACUCCUUUGUGUAUAUUCAAAAAUGAUUUAGCCUGGAUAAAGUUGCUGCUAUGAGAGGUUUAAUUAAUUACUGCCAGUUAAAUAUAUUUCUUUAAGAAUUGCAUUUGACAUUACUGAUGGUGGAGUAAAUGCAGUUUAAAAGUCAUUCUUCAUGAAAUACUUUAACCGACAAUUGUUGGCAUUGAAUAGCGGUCAAUGUCUACCCCCUACAGGGAGAGAUUCUAAUUUCACUAUGCUUUCCUCAGUACAUGAAUACCACAGAGUACAGUUCACACAUAUGAAUGCUGUAACCGUGUCAAUGACUCCAACAAGUGCCCCUUAAUGGAAAGGUCAGCCCUGUGAUUAAUAGGAAGCCAGUUUCAAAGGCUGGACCUCACUUCAGCACUGCAUUUAAAUUUCUUUCUUCUUGAUUUAUUCAUCUGCUUUUCAAAGUGUAAUAAAAAUCAAGUGGUCCAUACUGCACAUUUCUAAUGCAUGUGACUAUUUUCAUACAUGAGCAACAACAUCAAAUAGUACAUGAAGUUGAGCAAAAAAAUAAUAAUAAUAAAGUGAAAAAUUGUUCAAGCUAAUAAUUGAAAGCAUAGAAUGAUAAAUGGAAAUUUCACUUUUCAUCUAAAUAGUUUAUAUAGCCCUUCCUCAAGUUUCAGUUAAUUUAAUAAACCUUUAGGGGCACUGUGAGGGUAUAUGUGGUGUGUGACAGAAGAAGGCUUGGUGUUUCAUCUAAGUUUAUUAUGAUUAAAUGCUGGCUGUGUGCUGACAAUAUACGCAGGUAACUCAUGAAGAUAAUGCUUUUUCACUAAUGGCAGAAUUCAUUGCAGAAAUUUAGCACAGUAGAGAUGAACAAAAGAAUUAUAAACCUUUGAGAAGCCCAAGAAACUAUAAUGGAGUUUUUGUUAUAAUCUGUUUUGUGAAAAAGGUAUAAUGGUAGUUAUAAUCUUUCCAUCAGGACUUGUGCUGGGAAAACUUAUGGCUAAGUCCACUGUGAAAUUUUUUUUAAUGAUUUUUGACUGCUAUUAUAUUUGCUAAUAAGUAUGCUAAACUUAAGGCAAUUCAUAAUUUAGAUGGUCCUUAAAUAAGAGCUUUUAUAUUUUCAUUGUGUUUGUUUCAUGAUUCAGGGCUUUACCCACCCAUGUUUUCAAAUAAGAUUGCAAUAUGAGAAAUCAAGUAAUACAAACAACAUAAUAUACUGUAUUUAUUACACAUGAAAAUUUCCGUAUGCCAAGAGGAAAUUUUUUAGAAAUCAUCGUUUAUUUCAAUUUACCCUAAGGAAUAUUCUCUUUCAAAUAACUUUUUAACCCUAAAUCAACACAAAGUGUAAAAAGUCCAUGUGCAAUUAUAAUAAAGGAAUAAUAUUACCCAUCAAGAUAGAAAGUAUAGAACAAAGAAUAGCCCAGUUUUGAAUGUCAAUACUUCACAAAUGGAGCUUCCAAAGACUACCCAAUGAGAAGACAAUGUAGUCACCUCUGCAUAGCAGGCACAGUGCCUCCUUGAUGGCCUCACACUUCACCAAUGCCCACAGCUGUGUCAUCAGGUCCUCUUCUAGUCAAGGCAUCAUUUUUGCUCUGCAUUGGAAGUUGACAACUUCCAGAAAGGGUUUUAAUGAAAAACAUUGUUUGGGUACCUACAAAAUACAGGGGACAGUAUCCUCAGUGCUUUCUAUCCAUGAUAUACCUCAUAGUCCAAUAAAGUAUGUAUUGUUUCUACUCCAGUUGAUAAAAGUAUAAAUAAAGUGGUUACGGGAUAUGGCCCGUUACACAUCUCUGCUAAUAAGUAGUGGAGCUUAGGUUCAAAUUAACUUUGCCUGAAGGCAGAUACCUCAUCUGACCAUGAGGUCUGCAUGAUCUCUGGUCUAACAGUACAAAGCUGAUUUUAUCUCUGGCCACUUUAUCAAGACUAGGUGAAUUUGGAAAAGGGUUCAUAAACAAAAAUUGAUAGCAUGCCCACUAGAACAAAGCUUAAAUAGUUGAAUGUCAGGUAAGAGUGAGUCUGAUCUUACUUCUAGUUACAUCAUCCUGCAGAACUUGUAGACCCUACUAUUUUCCAGAGGUCUCCUACAGGUAAAGAAGGAGUUGCAGUUAAAUCUCAGAAAUGGGAAGAAGAGGUAGUGUUUCUGUUCUCCCUCAAUUGCUAAGUUUCCUUUCCUGUUAGUACUGGGUCUGACAAGAAUUUAUCUCUUCAGGGUUAUUUCCAACUAGGCUAAAGCUUUGCUAAGAAAACUAAUUACAAUAGUCUCUCAUUCAGAUUUAUCUAAUCACCUUCCCACCUGCAAGGAAGAAAGUGAGCUGACAGACACCCUCAAGGAUUUUCAGCCUUCCAUUAUUCAAUAGAAACACCUGGACAUUUUUUUUCCAAGAGAUAUAAUGCUAAUUAUUUUUUCCUUUAUUUGUAUAUAUAUUUGUGUGUGUGUGUGUGUGUGUGUGUGUGUGUGUAUUCAGUCAUGCAGACACAUAGCCUGGAAAACAAAUCUUCACAAGAUUUCAUUUGAAAUACAGAAUUUCCUAGGACCUGCAUCUGUGGUAUGCCUAUCUGCUAAAACACUUUCUCCCUAAUUCAGACAUUUAUUGACAUGGUUGAGAUUCUUUGUGAAGAGAUUGAAAAUAAAAUAUUUGUGACAAAAAAACCCUUGUAUUUCAUGAUAUAACUUUAACAUAAUGUGUCUGUGUAUUCUCUCUCAAAUAAAAGAAAAAUGUUCACUUUACAGAGAUUUUAAUCUUAUUUUAAUAGUCUAUAUUACCCAAAAUUUUAAACCAAGGUGUCAUUUACUUUUAUAAAUGUAAGAACGUUUAUAUAAGGCAAAUGAAAUGAAUAUGAGGAAAUUACUUCAAAAUCUAAACCACCUUAACUUAUUUUCUUAAAAAAUGUAAGUUGAAUUAAAUGUUCCUUUAAUUCUCAUAUUUCCUUUGGUUUUGGUAAAAGCUGUUUAAUAAAGGUAUUUAAAUGUGAUUGGCAUUUAUAAAACCAUAGACUACUCUUAUAAGAGAAAAGAGAGGAAAACAAGUGAUUUUUUAAAACCUAAUCUCAAGAUUCUGGAAGAAUGAAUAUAUGGUGACAGGAUCUGAAAGCUCUAAAUACCUUGAGGAUUGAUGAUUACUUAAAAACAGUGGUCAAAGACUUCCUCUAUCACUAUCAUUAGUCAAAGAGAUCAACAGGCUAACUCCGUGAAGUUAAUCUUUUACUAAUAAAUCUUUUUUGUAUUAUCCAGUAACUACUUCAUGUUUAUUUGUGUGUCUCUCUCAUUCUCUCCCCCUACCCAACCCUAUCUCUCUCUUUCCCCCUAACCUCACAUUCCAAGCCUUCCACAGAGCACCUGUCUAAAAGUAGUUCUUACUCUGGUCACUUGUGGCUGGUGCUCCUAAGAAAUAAUUGGGAACCUUACAGACCUAGACAUUGUGGUGGACAGUUCCACUCAGAUCUGGGGAGGGGUUAUCUCUGCUCAAUUCUGUGUUUUCCUACAUUCCAAAUCCCCAGUGGGCACUCACAACAUUCAACUAAGCUCAUGAUCCUUCCUUCAUACAGAGGCCUCUUACUCCUAGUACACCUACACAAGUCGAACUCUUGGCCAUUUCUGCAACCCAAAUUCAAAAGUGUUGGUCUCUACUAUUGCUAAAUAUUAAAUAUUUAUCUUCAUUCUAGGCCCACUGAAAUAUGUACCCUAUUUUGAAGCCUGUCUGUGAAUCUUUAAGUUUAUUAUGAAGUACACAUUAUCAUUGCUUUUUCAUAGGUGUGUAUAAAUCAGAACUCAAAAGAGUUUAUAAUUAGCAGUCAUCUUCACUUUUGUUUUAUUCCUUAGUAUUAUACAUUUCAAAUUACUUCUGUUACAGAUUUGAGAAUUUAUAAAAUAUAAGCUUAAAAAAGAACUCUUUCUUGGAUCAAAGAAUCACUUCUCAAAACAUUUUCUAAUCUAUAAACUUAAGGCAGGGUUCAUAUUUGAUUAAUACUGUUUCUUGAUGAUUCUCUUCCCUGUACCCAUUUCCAACAAGUUAAAAAAGGAAACAAAGUUAAAACAAAAGACCUAAUUCUUUACAAUCUGAAAGUAAUUCUACAAUCCUAAACCCUUGAAUUAGGCUUGGUUUUAAGCCCAAUCAUAUCCAAUAUUGUUUUGACACAUGGUUAAGACAAUAAAAAUUGUUGCUUCUGGCAAGAACUUCUUAAAAUUCACAUAAAAUAUUGACUUGUAUUGUCAUUCUUACUCUCAAGUACUCCAUAAAAUAGAUUGUAUAGUGUAACAUUGAUCUUUUUCACUUCUGAAAUUAUGAUAGAAGUAUAUUUUAUCAAAACCAAUUUUUCUUAACAAAAUAUUUAGCUUACACAACAUGAAAAUUUGGGUGACAGAAAUUUAUAUGCAAACAGUUCUAUUUCCUUUAGGACAUAAAAACAAGUCUAUGUGGAUAAAAACAGAGAAGAAACAUUAAUUCUGUAACUACUAUGUUUGUGGGAUCACAUUAGCUUAAUUAUAUUCAUAAGCAAAAGUAAAGUUGUCACUUCCAUUUUAUAGAUGAACAGUGUGUUUUAUUUUCUUGACUUAAUGAAUAAUAUUAAACCUAUAAAAAUCAUUCAAGUGACUAAUAUUGAAAGCAGCAGAUGUGUUCAAAUGUCAAGAUGUCCACAUUAUGCAGAUUGUGAUAGAAAUUGUUUUUAUUAUAGUUCUGGUUUCUUGGCCUGCCUUAAAAGCAUUAGUGUUGCCAUUACUUUGACUCUAGAAAAAUCAGGUAAUGCUGUUUCUUUUGUAAUACAUCUUUUUAUCACACUUUUGUGUAAAUGCAGAUACUAAAAUGGUUUUAUCAGUGGGAAAUGAUAUACUUUUGUAUCAAACCUUAUUUUAUUUCAUAUUCUUAAAGUAUAUCCAUUAACUUCCAUGUUAUAAUAAUGUAGUAAACACUUUCUCUGUGUGUUUGAAAGUGAAUAAGUAACUAUCUGCAUGUAUUUAUAAAUUUUUUUUAUUUGGCAAGAUUCUAUUAUAUAUAUUUGCACAGUAAAGACUGUCACAUAAAAAUUAUUUUGUUUUAUGGACUUUAUUUUGUUUAAUUUUAAUCUUUUUUAGUUGUAGUUGGACACAAUACCUUUAUUUAUUUAUUUUUAUGUGUUGCUGAGGAUCAAACCCAGUGCCUCUCACAUGCUAGGCGAGCACUAUACCACUGAGCCACAACCCCCGGCCUUAUUUUAAUUCUUUUAAGAAUUACAUCACAAGCUUUUGUUUGCACCAACAAGAAAAAUAUGCAUUUUGAAUGUUGUUUCCAGUUUUACCUUGGCCUAUUAGAAUUUACAUUAUGUAAUAUGUAACUUUAAAUAAUGACUAUAACUACCAAGACCAUUACACAGAGGUCUUCUAUAUUAAUUAAAAGAUGUUUAAACCACAGUAGUAUUGACAAUUUUCAAAUUAUAUUAGAAAUUUUGAACUUUAAUUUUUGAUUAUGACAAAGCCCCAUUUUUUUUUUAUUAGUAUGGCUUGGAUAGUGUGUUUCUCCAAAGUCUUUUGGACUCUCCUAAGCAGCCACAAGCUCUCUCACAAAGCUAUUGGCCAUAUUUGUUGUGCCUACAUCCAUGCGGAUGGUAUAAGGAAGAACCACAGACUACCAGCAGGGCAAUAUCAGCAGCUCCACUUCAGGACUUCUUUAUAGCAGUCUAAUAUCUCAGUGAAAGCAGACAAGGUCAAAAGGAGACAGGUUUGGGGCACCCUAGUUUAAAAGCUUCCUUUCCUGUAGAUACAGAUAGCUUUUCCAACAACAGAAACACAGCUUUUAGGAUUCUUGAAAGGGGCCCUUUCAGUGCAAAUAGCCACAAUAUUCAGGGAAACUCAGGCUUGCUUUCAGGUUUAUAGCUUUCCUCGUCCUGAUUCAUUGUAGCCAUCAAGAGUCAUUUUUAUCAUAGGUAAAUCUUCCUAAAAUACAGCAGACAUUCUGAUUUUUACUGAUUUUCAAGUGGAGUAAGUCUAGACAGUUAACAAAAGAUCAAAUUAUCACAGAGAAGGGGAAAAUAUACUGUUAGUUCUUUAUCAACAGGGGGAUAACAUGGAGGUUGAGAAGAUUAAUUUUAAGAACUAGCAUGGCCUUUUUCUCUUCUGUCUACAAAUCCAGACUGUGCUUUAGUUUAUGGUUAUACUUGUUGCACAUAAACCUGCCUUCAUUUAUAGUUUUGUUUUUGUAUGCACAGUAUUGUAAGCAUUUCUUCCCCUUCCAUAAACACUUCAAAUUACAUGCACCUAUACACCAACAUUACAAAGGGCUGUAAAAGGUCUGGUUUUGUUAAUUAAAAAUUUCAAGAUUUUUUUGUCUUAUUUUUACUAUACUCGAUUAUGACAGGUUGAUACUGCAUCUAAAAGACUAAAACUUGGAAUUGUGUAACUUCUGAAAAUAACUGAGGCUUCACGAAGGAUAAGCCUAGAUUUACUUCCAAAACUCAGUAUGCUGGUUCUCGAGCACUAUCUUUGCAAGGGGAAGAGGCAGUAAGAGGAACCAGGUAUAGUCUCUCAGUUGUGAUCAUGAGAUUGUCAUAUAUGGCCCUGGCUGAGGACAGCAUGCCUUAGGGGAAGGAAAGGAAGUAGCAGGAACUCAGGCUUUUUUGAAGGGCAUCUGUGUCAUGAACAGAUGAUACCUGCUGAGUUCCUACAAUUAUGAUCAUCACUGUUUAAGGACUAACUCCAGCUAUUUUUCCAGACAGGGCUAUGGGCAGAGUAGGCUUACAACUUUUUGGAAGGAUUUGUUGCUGAUGCUAAUUAUUAGAUUUUAAAAGCACCAAAUAAGAUUUGAAAUAACAGAAUUUAAAUGAAUGAAUACUAAUCUGUGAUGCAAAUUCAAUCUAUUAACUUACUGUUUAGAAAUAGAUAUUAGUUAUAUAAUUGCAUGAUGGGUAUACAUUUUUGUAUGUAUAUUGUUUUAUAAUGAGUAGAGAAUAAACCAAAAAUUCAGAGAUUUUAUUUUCAGUAAAGUCCAAAUACGUAGCAAGACCAUGGACAGUUAACUGAUAGUACUUGAAAACUUAGUACUACUAAUAUUAUUAGUACUAUCUUUAUAUUUUUAUCUAUAAAUUAAGAAGUUCAAAAUGGACAAUGUAUACAGUUUCUUUUGUGUCUCAUUUUUAAGAAGUGCAGUAUACAAUUUUAUGUACAAUUAAAACAACAUUGAUCAACACUAAGACAUAAAACAAUUUAAAAACAAACGUAAGUAGAAGAUAUAUUACUCUCAUAAGGAUGUGAGUUAAUUUUUAAACACAUCUUCUUUAUACAAUGCAUUUUAAUGACUUAAAGUCAGUCGUGACAGAAUUAAUAAACUACUCUUGAGAAUAAUUAAAUAUCCUCAAGUUACUUGAAUACUGAAAAAUGAGGGCAUUGAUUCAGUUAAUUUUUCUGGCUUCUGUUAAAUGCUUAUUAUGAAUUAAAGAAUUAAAAUGCAUUUCUUGCACUUUAAAUAGAUAAUAAUUUGCCUUUUUUCUAUUAAAGCUAAUUUUUUAUUCUGUCAAACUAUAGACACCAUAAUGAAAUGGAGACAGUGCAAUGUAAUUAGCUGAAAAGAGUGAACUUAAUUUAUCUUGCAUUAUGUGUAAUAGGGAAAAACAUAUAAAACCAUAUUAAGCCUUACUUAAAGAAAUAGAAAAAUAUAUUUCAAUUAUCUCACAUUUCUUCUUAAAAUCUGAACUAUAAAUCUUUGGAAUUGUUGUCAGAGAUUUAUGAAGUUUCUGUUAGAUCUUUUUUCUACUAUAAACUACAUUUCUUAUUUAAUGGAUAUUCGGUUUCAAUAUCAACUGUGACUGGCUGUCUUCAUUCAGAUGAAUAAUAUACUUCAAACGUUUUUAGUUUUACUUUUUUUCAGUAGGACAUCCCAAAAUUACUUCAAGAGUUUGAAAUAUUGUUUAAGUCUAAACAAUAAAAUUGUUUUUAUUGUUUCAUCCCAACCUGUGCAGCACAAGACAUUAAUAAUUGAGAGAGAUACAGAAGCAAGUGAGGCUAAGUGAAUAUUUGAAAGACUGGUGGAGUCCUGCAGAUUUAGAUUUGCUCUAGUAUCUCGUCCUUGGUCAACCCCACCCUGAGGUGGGCCUUCUCUACUUAGAAGUAUGGAGAGCCGGGCAAUAUCAAAAACAGAACUCAUCUUUAGCAAAUUUAGAGUGUCAUAAACUGUGGCCUUGACAUUUCUCCUCACACCUUUCCUGAUUCAAUAAUAACCUUUCUUCUUCUUUCUCAACAGUUGAGUCCCCCCCUUAUCACAGCAUUCGUGUUGACUUUGGAUUUUUCCAUUAAGAAAAUUUUGCUAACAGUAGGGUUUUUCCAUUCACAAAAUCCUGUACUCCUGAAUAGUUUGUAUUCUUUACAUUACCACCCUCCUUCCCAUUAAUUUCUAAACCAAAGCAAUCUAUUGGGGUAAUGCUCACUACCAGAUCUGAAAGGGAGGCUCAUUAAAGGUAGAUGCAGCAUGUUAAAAGAUCCAUUUUUUUAAGGAAUACAAUCCUAAACUUUUAAGGUUUUUUAUAUUUUAUGUAAGAGAACUCUUCUUGUCGAUCCUGCCCCAGGUCAGGCCUGAUCCAGGAGCUGUUGAAUGAUCCAGUACUUUUGCUGUCAGAAGAUCAGGACUACUCAAGUUCACUGCUUACUUUUGGUGCCAAUUCACCUCUGCCUAGUUUAUGCACAAGCUCUGAACAUUUUGAAACUAAGCAGUAGAAGAACCUUACAGACUAAAAAAUAUUCUUUAAGAGAUGCUUUAAAUUUCACUUUUCAUGAUUAUGUGUUACCUGUCAAUUUUUACCUUCUCCUCCAUUCUGGCUGUUCCUCUUCCGCCCUUUACUGCCAUAUUCUCCAUCCCUAGUAUGCUUUCCUUCUGAAAUCAGUUGGAAAUUCAGGGAGAGUGAAGAAAGUAAGAGAAAAACAGAGGCCUGGCUGAAUGUUGCUCAUUGAGGGAAAGUGAGGCUGCUCCAUGUAUAAAGCACUGUUUCCAAUCGCUUCUGCAGAGAUGAACAUCAAUCUUUUUUUAGUUAACUCCAUCCACACAAUUAAUCAUGUAGCCAUUUGGGGGUCAGUGAUACAGUUUGCCUUGGCUAAGUGCCGGAUACUACAGACCCUUACAGCCCCUACACCAUUCUGGUUUGCCUAGUCUAAGAAAAGUCUACAUUGAAUUCAAUAUAAUGCACUGAUUUAAUUUUCUUUGGCUGUUUGUGGUGUAGUCAUCAUUAAUUUAAAUUGAUCUUGAGAUAUUGUGUAUGAAAAGAUCAUAUGCAUAUUCCUAUUGAGCUUCUUGUUUAUUAGUAGUAUUGUUAAAUUAUACACAUCGUUGUAGCACAGAGCAGUAUGUUUGUCAAAUGUUGUCACUGACGUAUGUUCACAUUCCUUGGGAUUGUAUAUUUUUAAAAAUUAGAAUGAAAUAUAGCUUGUGGAAAGCUAUUAAUUUUAAGGUUUAGUUUAAAUAUCCUUCCCCAUUCUAUGAAAUCUUGAGCUAGGUAGUAUCUUUCCCUGCUCAGGAUUAUGUAAUGUGUCUUACCUGUGUGAUGUAUUCGAUAGCUUUCUGUAUUGAGAUAUUGUCAUACUUAGGUCUAUUCCCAGCUAGAUGCCAAGUUUUUUCAACACAGAGGCCUUGGCUUCUACUUUGUUGUGUGUAACACAGCCAUGCAUGACAAAGUAGGUGUUCAAUAAAUAUUCUUUGUGGAAAAUUGACAAUUCUACCCUAUAAAUGCAGGUUGAAGGGUCUUUACCUUUGGUCUGUAUCCUCCAUUUGCUGUUUAAUUGGCUAUUAGCUGAAACUGAUUGAUAGACAAGGACUUUUUUUUUUUUUUAGGAGAAUUGGCAGCUAUGUAAAUACAGCACUUAACCUUAAGCACUCAGCCGUUAACCUUAAUCACUGUCCAUUAACCUUAAAGCACCCCAGGUUUCUCCCCUUACAGUCCCCCAAAACAGACCCCACUCAGUGCAUUCCUCAGCAUGAAAAAGAAUCUUAGUAGAAUGUUUUUAUUGUCCUGUGAGUGGCUGUAAAAAAGGCAUUUGGAAAGCAAACACUGAACUCCAUUUCUUUCUGUGGAUUCUAAUUAAUUUUCCAGGUGUCCAUAGAGGUAUAUGAAACUGGAAUAUUAUUUUAAGGAGCAUGUUAGGAUAUAUUUGAUAAGAGAAAGAUAGACAAUGCUUUUUGAUGUUACUAUCUUAUGUAAGUAUAAUAAUCAUAACAUGUCAUCUACGUAAUCCUGAAAAUUUGUGAAAAAUAAAGAAAUAUUUUUCAGUAGUUAUGCUAAAAUAUAUUUAAAAUUAAUUUCAGGUACUUAAAACAACCAGUUAUUUCAAAAUACAUGCUACUUGGAAUAUCUUAGAUCUAAAGUUAAAUUAUAAUAAAUAAAUGAUAAUUUUAUUUUAACAAAACACUUUUGAUUUUUUUUUCUGGCAAGUAUUCUUGCCAGUAGAUAUAACCAAUUUUGUUGAAAUAAAAAUAGCUCGCUUUAUCAUAAUCUUUUUUAGUAUAUAAAAAUCUAUGUUUCUGCGUGUUUCACAAAAAUCACAUAAAAUAACAAUUAUGUUAUUAAUAAUAAAAUGUCAUGUUAGUAAAUAUAGUCAAAUGUAUUGUGUUUUGCAUAUCAUGGUUUUGUUUCAGCAAGAUCUACAUUUACUUACCUAUGAAUUUAGUAAAAUAACGUUACAAAGUUGCAAAAAGUUUUGUGUGUAACAUUAUAUGCUAUUAUGUUUUAUAACUUCAAUCCUUGGAGUGAAAAUUGUAAGUCCAUAGAGUUCCUAUUGUAGUUUGAACAUAAUAGAUUUUGGGUUUAGGUUGGGAGGGUGGCUGGGGAUGGGGGAGAGAGAAAGAACACCUUGCUAUAUUCAGGAAAGCAACUUGAUACUAAUGGACUGAUUAUUUUUAGAUUUGCCAAAGUGCUCAGUUUCACUCUAAGUCCCAGAGGGAACUGACACUAGAAGGUGUGAGCAACUGAGGGCCAGGGAGGGUCUCUCUUACUGCUGAUUUCAAGGUAUAUUUUAACAAAUGUGAAAUCUCACUGGAAAAACAGAUCAGUGUAACACAAUGACUUCAACUCUAGAAAGAUGUUACCUCAACACAGGGCCACAAGGCUGCUUAGCUGUUCACUUAGAAUUUUCUGGUUACCUAACUAAGGAGGAAGGUUGAUAAUGAGGGUGACUUGGCAAGAGAGUCCAGGCAGAAUGUGCUCCUCAAAGGUGAGUCAAGUGUCAGUAUUGACCACAUGUUUUGAGAAUAAAUCAAUAAAUCAAUGACUUCUAUAGAAAUUGCUUUUUAAAUUUUGCUCUCUAAACAUUUUUAACAAUUGGUCUUUCAAGGCCCCAAAGAUCCUCUUGGAGAUAUGCAGGGCCUACCACCACAUUAAGUCACUAUUUCACUUUUUAUUAAGUAUAUUACAUAUUCUUACACCUCUAUACAUAUGCAAAAAUAGCCUAGACCUGUCACUGUGCAUUCUUUACACACAAAGUGAUGAAACGUACAUGCAAAUGUAGCUUGGAAACUGGGAAAAUUCAUGGAAGAAAAUUUCCGUCUUUGCAGGGUGUCUUCACCAUAUGCUUUGAUUUAGUUAAGCCCCACUGCUUCAGGAAAGGUGCUGCCUUAACAAUAUUUCAGGUCAUUUCUAUUCUUGAUACGGUGAUGUAAACAUACUAAGGGUGUGUUUUGAAUUAUGUGGCUUUGAAUUAUCAUUUUCUUUUAAUAAAUUCAUGGGAGGUACUCUUCUGCAAUAUUUAUUACUUGCAUAAGAACAACUAGGAAUGAGUUUUACUUUAGUACAAAUAUUAAGAAUCAUAAUAGAGGUUCUAUCCUGGAAAACUGAUGAAAUGUUAUUCUUUCUUUCUUCAGACCUUGAAUAGAAACAAUUAGUAAUUAGUAAUUGCAGUCACGUCUUUAAGUUAUGAGAAAUAUUUGGCAUACUAAUAGCACAACUAAGAGGCAAGUAAACCAUAUUGACAUUGUACAAGUUAGUGUUCAUUGCUUUGGGUUCUCAGCUGCAGUUCAAAGUUUGAACUAAAUAAAAUGUGUGUCCUUCCUCUAUCUCUGUUUCUUCUACUUUUACUAUACCACAUUUUGGGUAUUUAUCAAUUUGAUUUACUACACAUAAGGAUCACUCCUGGUACUGAUGUGAAUUUUUUUUUUUUAAUAUUUUUUAGUUGUUGAUGAACACACAGUAUCUUUAUUUAUUUUUAUUUUAUGUGGUGCUGAGGAUUGAACCAAGUGCCUCACACAUGUGAGGCAAGUGCUUUACCACUGAGCUACAGCCCUAGCCCUGAUGUGAAAUUUUAUGUUCAUUUAUUUUUCAUAUAUUUCACUUGAGCACCUGAUUGCCAAGCUUAUAUUAGGCAUCUGUGUUAUUUAUUGAAGAAUUUAAAAAAUUGUUCCAAUUAAGCUUUCCAGUCAUUUAAAACUAACUUCAAGUUUUAGAACUGUACAGCAUUAUUUUGUAGACCUUAACGUGGUUAUUGGCUCUGUAUUUAGACAACUAAGAUGUCUUCAAAAUAUUCUUACACUAACUUUCUCCACUUUAUCCUUGGGUUCCAGGGAAAUAAAAAACUUAAGAAAAUUUUAUAUUGUCUUUCCAGAAACUCUGACUUUAAUUGUUUGUUUACCAACAUGUAUAGAUUAAUAUGAAAACUAGAGAGAAAGCUUACCAAAAGAGAAUAGCAGCCCAUCAAAUCAAUGCUAAAAAAUUUGAAGACUCCAAGAGUUGAGACUAUCCAAUAGGGAGAAGUGGGGGGGCGGGGGGUGGGAGGGCUUUUUUGCUUUGACACAGUUAUGUCAGGAUAGAAGUAGGGACAAGUGCCACAGAGAAUCAGCAGUUCUGUAAUAAACCCAAAUACCUGUGCACCUCCUCUAUCAGCAAAGUGGCUGCCCAGUUCUAAUAACAUAAACCAUUAGGCCACAGAAAACAAAAACAAAAUAAGGACACACACCACUUUCCAAAAUAAACUUUCCAAAAUAAACUACCGGGUGGCAUGUUACGUGAAGUUUUUUUCUUAAAAACUGCUCUUGAAAUUCAUUUUGAUCUUCAUUUUAUGUGUAAAAGAGGUCUGAGCGGCACACUCAACCCAAUAAAAUCUGCUCUAACAUCUGUAUGACUGCUUCUGUCACUUGAGAUUUUCUCAAAUGCAAAGUAGAAAAGAAUUUAAGGAAAUGAUAUCUGUUUCCUAUGAGGUUUUUAAACCUUAAAAUAGCAAGCCAACAAACUGCCACCACUCCAAAACCAACGACAAAAAACAGCAUAACUACUCAUCACAUUCACACACGGUCACACCAAAUGGACAAACAAACAUAUAAACAGAAAGAAAAAACAAAUCAACUACAAAAACAGAUUCUGCCUUUCUCCAACAACUCAUAAAUGCAAGAAAAUUUUAGGUUGAAUAUUUCUAGAUUUAAAAAAGAAAAGAAAAAGAAAAACAAGAAAGAGAAAAUAAUCACACACAUACACUUUCACCAGGGACUGAGAGGGGCUGCACCCCCAACCCCAGCCUCAGCCCUCCUGAGACUCAGCACUCCUGAGGGAAAGGGGGAGCAAGAACUCUGGCGCCUGAAGCCCAUCUGAGGCCUUUGUAAGAAAAAAUGAUGUCACCAAUGUCUCACUUUUUUCCACUUAUUCUUUCCACUUCAUUCUCUUUUCUCUUACCUGCACUGAUUUUUUUUUUCUCUGUUACGGUUUUCCUUCACUUUACUGAAGCUCCAAAUUUGUCAAAUUUGUCUGAUCCCCUAGAAAGAGGGGCAAUUCUAACCUAAUAUAAACGUUCAUUCCCCGGGGUCUUUUGUACCUGCUCUCCAUUUUUUACUAUGAACGGGGCUUCCUAACUCCCAGGGUAGAAGCGUGGGUGUCAGAUCAUCACCUGCAUUUGCUAUCUCUAGGGACCUACUGAAGAAUACUGGCUAUUAAUUAACAUUUUACGAUGUGCCUCACACUCUUCAGAGGAAACACACCUUAUAAAUGCCAAACAGUAAUAAUUCAGCAAUCUGCUCUCCUUUGGGUUCUGGAUCCACCAGCACUCAACCUCCUGAGGAGAGGAAAAAAAGAGCCAUCUUUCUUAUUAUACCUACCUAGAGGAUAAAAUGUCAAGUGUAAAAGAUGCUUCAAGGAGCAAUGGUUGCACUCAUUUCAGAAGGAUUUCAAGAGUUUUUCCAAAAGAAAAGAAAAAGAGAAGAGCAGCCGUUGACAGAGCCAUCUGAGGAGGGAAACUGCCUUCCAGAACUCGACAAUCCUGGCAGAGAAGCAGAUGAUAUAAUUGUAUCUCACCUCUACUUCCUGUAAUCCUGUCACCAUCCAGGAAGCAACCAGCCACACUGAGAAAGCCAAACUUUGAGGCACUUAUCUCAAAGACUGUCUUCACCCCACAGGAAGGUCCCAUCCUAGGUGAAGUUUCUAAGUAAUUAAUCACUUUGAUAUACAGAGUUUGCAUCUUUUCAUCAACUCUUGGCUUAAAAUAAUGGGAAGACUGUUUCCUCUUCCUGCAGUAAGGAAAGUUCAGGAUUCAUUCUUUUAUUUUUUCUAGUCAAACACUUUUGUAAUAUUGUAUUAUUCUCAGAGAAAUCAGAAAGAAACUGUCAUUUCCAAGGCCAAGAGCUAAGGAAAGUGAAGGAGUUGAGAUUCUUCCACUUCCUGGCAGAUGAGGCUGAAGACCAUUGCUGCCACAAAGGAUGCACCCAGCCAUGCGAGGUUUGAACUGAUUCAGGCCUCCAGCAGAUCCUCCUCAGUGUGCAUCUCUAGAAUACAGUACUUCCCUCAAUAAAGGUAUGGAAAAAACAAGAGUCAUAACAGGAUGGUAUUGGUAAUAUUUGCCUUUUUAAUUUUUUCUUCACUUAAAAUUUUACUUUUAGAACCAAUAUUUAAUAUUAUUUCCCUAGUUGGGGAGUUCUGAGUUUCUUCUGAGCCCAAAUGAUGAGAUAUUUACACCAAACCAUUCCCAUAAAAAUUACUGCUGUUUAUAUUUGACCAAUAACAUGGAAUUUUUAAUAUUUCCCAAUUCCUUUAUCUCUCUAGAUGACUUGAUCCAUUUUAAAAUUAUAAUUAUACAAAAUAAUGAAGUGUCUAAACACAAAGAUUCAUAGUAAAACUUUCAGGGGAAAUAAGCUGACGGAAAUUAAUACUUGAAGUUCCACCUAGGUUUUCUCAUACACCCACUUACCCACCUACCGCACAUUUUUUUCAUUAAAUCCAUUUUUCAUUAAAUAACUAUUUCUUUUUAAAAAAUCUCAAUUUUUAAAUUAAAUACCUCUAUGAAGAAAGUAUACAUAAAAGCUCAAAUGAAUUAAGUAAAUUAUGCAGGUUCACAUCCAGAGGUAGUGACAGAUCUAGGAUUAGACGCAGACUUGUUUAAAUCCAAAGUUCAGGUUUAUAACAUCCAUGCUGUCAAUACUCUAAACUGAUAGCAGUAUUAAGAGCUGUUGUUAGUUAUAUCAUCUGCCACUUUGGAAAGGUAUUUUUUCAAUGUCAAUAUUUCAUUAGGUUUGAAAUUUAUCUUUCUCCACCAUAACAUACUGACAUAAAUUUUUUUAUAGCUCUGGCUUAGUAGACUUAUGUUCCUCUGAAUUAAUAUGAUGAAGUAUGUCAUGUUAAAAGUUCAAAUGUAGAAUCUGAUUGAGUUCAUCUCUUUAUAUUAUCUUUUUGUGGCAUGAAAGCUUGUUUUUAACAGAAAAAAAAUUACUCAACUCUAACAUAUUUAAAGGUAUUUUGAAAUCUGACAACUAUUGUACAUUGAAUCUGAUAUAAAUGGGGGAGCAAGGUUUAUCUGAAAAAAGGUGGGCAAGUCUGAUGAGAAAGAAAGACAAGCAACAUACAAAUUGAAAACUGGAACUAGCAUCGACAGCUUCAUGAACAACAGAAAUGCAAAACACUAAUAAUUUUGUAAAUAAUUAAAAUGUUUUUAAUGUCUACAGAUUUAUCUAAGCUCCUCCUUGCCCUAAAUCUGUAUUUCAUGAAGGUCCAAAGCCCUUCUCAAAAUUUCUGCAUAUUCCUGAGGUCUAUGUUAGACUGAGGAAGUAAGUCAAUAGAGCUCAUGCUUUUUUAUUAUAGUCCUUGACUCCAGGCUAGCCUUUCCUCAGCUCAUGAACAGUUUUACCAUUUUUAUCUUUUUUAAUUAUAUGGACAUAUAAUCACACAUGUACUUUGGCACACUUUUUUUGCUGUUUUGGCCAUAUAUAUUAAUAUUUUAUUAUACAUUGGGCACUUAAUUUGAGGUUAAGUAAUCCCCAGAGCUACUUACUACUGUACGUUGAGUUAGUCUCUUAAAACUCUAUUAAAUUAAAUUUAUUUUGCAAUUAAUAAUGAUCAGGGGCAUUAACCUAAGAUAUGAAGGGAAAAUCUGAGAGUCAGGUGAUUUGGAGGUCCACUAAUCCUAGUAUGCUCUUCACAAUUAUAAGCAGCAAUUUUUAUUUGAACAGGGGAUCUAAAAAAAGAUUUCCCAAGUCAGUCUUAUGUAUAAAAGCAUGUUUCCCUAGAAACCAGGAGGGGAAAAAAGUGUGCAUAGAAAUAUGGAUGGUUUUGCCGUCUCUUCUUGGCUGGGGGAGUUGGGGACUUUGUUGCACUCUAGCAAUUGCUGGUGUAGAUUUCAUAACGCUUCCAUAGCCUCUUUCUCUCAUGAGGAUAUAAAACCAUUGGGAUAGGUUGCUAACACAAUUUCUAUUUUUAUCCUUCAAAAGACAGGAAUUAUUGUUCUAAAAAUCUAAGCUUUACUUUAAAAAAAAUAUCACUGUAAAUUUCAAGUUCUUUUUAUUCUUCCUGCAUAGAUUUUUUUUUUCAUUUGUGCUAUGGAAAAAUGAGAUAUAUUACAUUAAGCAACACUUCCAAAAUUUUACUCAAAAUCUUGCACUGAAAAAAGAUACCUAAAGAUUGUCCUUUAGGGAUUUCCUUGCACCUUUUUAAAGCUUUAUGUGUCUCUUUAAUAAGGGAAAAAUAAAUAUGAUGAGUCAGAAAAACUGUUAGCCUUUUAAAGUAUACUGUGUCAAGUAGUCACUGAUUGCUAAAAAAGAAAUAUCACUGGGGAAAAAACAAAACAGUUUAAUAUCAGUUUGCCUGCAAGGCCACUCCUAAGCAUUAAUUCUUUGUGACCCUGGCAGAAAAGACACAUUACAAAAGAUAGUGGGAAACAAUUUAAUUCCUGUGUCUUUCUGACUUGAGAAAAUGGUUUCUCUUUUGUGUAUUGCUGGUUGUGAACCUCAAGAGUUUUUGUUGGAAUACACAAUUAAAGCAUGUUAAAUCCCCAUUUCAAUCUUGUUACGUGCUCUUUGGAAGGCCAAUUAAAAUAGGCCUUUCUUUUUUCUUUCCCUAGGUCUACUCUCAGUGUUCCCAUCUUUACUGGUUGCAAGCCAGUAGAGAAUCAUAAUCUAUUUUUCCCUCUGACCCAAAUAAUAUUGUAUGUGAAAUCCAAUUAUGAAAAGUGCAGUCUAUAAGGAAAAGGAAUUAAAAUCUUAACCAACGUAAUGGGUGAACAGGGAGGAGGUUAGAAUGGGCCUACUUUUAUUCCUGUGGUGCUUUUUGUAGAGCUUUUGAUAAGAAAUACUGCUAAAUAAGAAGUUUUAAAAACAAAAGAUAACUAGGGAAGGGCUCUAGAAUUUGUGUGUAUGAACUUUGUUUAUACUAUGAGUAAAUGUCAACUACUGUCCAUAUAUGAGCCUUAUAUUUUUAGCAUCAACUGGUAGUCUUCUCUUAAAUUCAUCCAAAGCUUCGUUCUGAAGUCACUGUGUCACAGCAAUGUAAGACCCACCUACCAAGACCCAGUUUGUACUCUCCCAUCUUCUCACCUUCCAGAAGUUUAUUUAUAUGUCUUUGUUGUCUAUCUUUACUUUUUAGAGCUGGGGGUCAAAACUGGGGCCUUGCUCAUGUUAGGCAAUCUCUCUACCACUGAGCCACACUCCUGACCGUUUCUGGAAGAAUGUUUGACAACUGUUACUGUCUUUUGUGUUCACAGGAUCGUAUGUAUCUCCAGAAAUACUCUGUCAUGCAGCCUAGUUCUAAUCUAGGAUAAAAUAUCUUUGUGAUUAAGAACAUAAACUUGGCCAAAUUAAUGAAAAAUAAAAACAAGAUAUGAUAAGGACAUUGUAUAAUUGGAAAACACCUCUCCAUACUUAAUUUUGACCUCGAAACUUCUGACAAUAGAAACAAUAGAAGAUUUAUGAACUAUUCGUGAAUUUUAAAUAUAUUGAAAUCUCAAGCACUUAAAGAAUCUCAUAUAUUUUUUUCUCUUUUCCAAUAUUGGUCAGAUUAUUUAAGAGUGAAUUUAGUAAUUGGUGACAAUUCAUUCACUCUACUGAGAAGCAAUGAAAACUCUUCCAAUUUAUUUAUUUAUUUAUUUUUGGAAUAUUCAAUAUGCUUUUCUUCCUUUGCAUCCUUUUUAUUUCACUAGUAAUUAAAAAAGAAAACUACUGGCACAGAUAGUUAUUAUCUAGAUUACUUUUAUGUUUGUAUUUUUUUAAGUUUAUAUUCUUCAUAAAUAAAACCAACCAUCAGCAUGGUUGGAAAAUAAAAUUAAUUACUGUGAUUAUACGUAAGAACUCCUUACCUAUUGAUAACAACAACAAAUUUAUCACUAAGACAUCUCGUUUUACAUAAGUAAUUGAACCAUUUUAUAAAAGGAAGCAAUUUUAAGUGAGAAAUAAUGGAAAGUGAUUCAGGUUACAGUCAUAAUUAUUAAAAGAAUGCUUUUAGUUUUUUUUUCAAAAGCGCUUUUCACAUAUGGACAUGUGGGCAAUGCUUUAGGUUAACAAAAAAUUCUUAAUGAUUAUCAGUGACCAUGGUUUUCCACAAAAACUUUCCUUAUGCUUUGAGACACAAAAGAAGGAAGUAACACAACCUGCACUUUAUUAUUUUGUAUCAGUGCAAAGCUCUUUCUAAACUUUAAGUCCAACUGAAAGCAGCUGCUGGAAAAAUAUCAUUACACUAUACCUUAAGCUACAAAAACCAAUUUAAUGGUGACAUUUUAUUUUGUUCAGAUGGUCUGCUCUUUUCUUCUGUUUAAACCAGUAAAGCCUAUGGAAACUGUAUCUGGAUGAAAUCACUGGAAGGUGAAGGCCCAUGACUAAGAACAUUCUUUACAGAUUAUACAGGGUUACAUUCAAAUGGGAUAGCAGCACUAACAAGAGGAAAGUCUCCAAAAGACAGCAAGCAAUAUUACAUCAUUUAGCAUUCAUAUGCAUAAUAAGAACAGAGUCUCUUUUCUAGAAAAGGGUAAAAAGUUUAUUAUUCAAAGUUUAUUAUUUAAUAAAACUCUAUUAUUCAAAAAUAUAAAAACAGAAAACACAGAUAUUACUUUAAAAACAUAUGUUGUAUGUUUUUUUUUUACUUCAGAUAUUUUUGUUUUUAAAUGAAAUACUAACUUCUCUAUCUUAACCAUGCCAAAAUUUUUCUUAAUUUUUUUGCUAUUUCAUUUACUUUCCUGAAAUGAAGUGGGGAGAAAAAAAAAGAAGUAGAAGAAAGAAAAUUCCCUAUACUUUUAUUACCUAUUAGUAUGAUCGUGAGUUAUAGUUAAAAAUUAAAUUUGAUACUAAUAUUUACCUGUUUCAAAAAUAAGUAUAUUUUACUGCAGAGAAGCAGUUAAAGACAAAACUCUUGAUAUGAAUCCAAUACUCAUAAAUCUUUAUUAUAAAAAUCUUAGAAUUGGACUACUUAAACCAGCUUUUGCUGAACACAAAGGUGAAUAAUCUCUCUGCCUCUCACUAUUUUUUUAAAAAAAAUCCUUCUUCUUGACAGUAGCAUGUAUUUGUUCAUUUACUCAUUCAUUAUUUAUAUUUUAUCUCUAAAAAAGACUUAUAAAAGUUUUAGAUAACAGAAAACCACUGACUUAGUUGAUUAAAAACGUGAGUUAUUUAAUUUAACGUGGUUACUGUGAUCUAAGUAUUAAAGUGAGAUCUAAACUGCAUUGCAUCUUAGCAUCUAGCAAAGUGCCUUUAUAAUGACCUUAAAUGCAGUAAACUAAACACCUGCUGUGGAUUGUAGUCAUAACCUUUACAUAAAUAAGACAGUCUUACCACUUAGGAAUGACUCCCAGGUGGUCCUGGCACAGCCUGGUCACAUCUGCUAGAUCUUAGGAAGAUUGGGGUAAGGGCUCUGCAUGCUGGCAUUGUGCCACAUGAUCUUACCUCAAAGCUUUGCACAAGUAAGGGAUUUUAAAAUCUCCCAAGUUGUGACUGAAAAGAGAGUUCUAUGGGGUGUCUCCAAAAAGUAAACUUUCGCUUUCUGGCCCUUACUUGUUCUUAUUCUUAAAUAAGUUUGUUAGAGUAGAUAAUUUCCCAUUAGUUAACCUCAUUUCAGACUUUGCAAGGAUUUGAUCUCUCCAGGGGUAGCCUAUAGGGAGUGUAUAAUUCACUUAUUCAACAAACAUUUUCUCAAGGUUUUGAUGAAUAUAGUCUUCUUCUGCAUUGUUCUCUGAGUUAUAUCAAGACAUAAGGGUAAACAGAUUAUUAGAAAAUAAGUAAAAAAUACUUUAGUGUUAUGUACCGGCAUAUUAUAGGAAAUACUUCAAUUUUUGGUAGGGUCUUGAAGAAGAGUUCACUAAGUAUCUCCAUAAAGGAUGGAAGGCAGUAGGUAUAUCUGGUAGAGAAAAUGCCCUGUGUGUAGGCAGAAGGGAAGGGAAGGACCGUAGGUGAGAAGAGUUCUUAGAAGGUCAAUGAUGUUGGAAUACACUGAAAUGGAAAAAAAUAGCUUUAUAAUUAAAUAGAAGUGGGACUGGGGUUGUGGCUCAGUGGUAGAGUGAUCACCUAGCACACGUGAGGCACUGGGUUCAAGCCUCAGCACCACAUGAAAAUGAAAUAAAGGUAAUGUGUCCAUCUAUAACUAAAAAAUAAAUAUUAAAAUAAGUAAAUAAAGGUCAGAUCAUGAAAGAAAUUACAUUGAAGUCUAUGUAUUUCAGAUCUCAAGGGCAUCAGAGUCCAGUGCCUGAAAUUGAUUUCUAAUGUAGUAAUUUAUGAGAUCUGCAGCUCAGAAAAAUUUACUUAACUCCUCCAAACCUCAGUUUCCACAAAUGUCUAAAGCUGAUUAGAUUUCACUGUUAUAUAGCAUUGUGCGAAAGAGUAAGUUAGCUAAUGGAUAUUGAUGUUGAAACUUCAGCUAGGCACCCAAAUCUUAAAUAAACAAGCCCCAUGAAGUUCUAAAUUAAAGUAACAAAUUACCACAUGCACACUUUUGAAUGAUAUUUCCAAGUACUGAUAAUCCUUACCCAUACCCAUUUAGUUUACAGACUAAAAGAAAACUAAGAGGAAAAAGGUGUAUGAAAAGCUUUCUUUGAAAAAAAAAUAAUUGCCAACCUGUGGGCACCAUUCUCAUAGGUAAAUUGAUGCUACCUUCAUCACCUCAAGCCCAGAGAGGGGAACUGCAGAUGAAUUGGGUCCUGGCUGGGGACUUCUGAAUUCCUCAUAAAAGCACUCCCAUAAGAACAAUCAGCUUCUCCCAUCUUCAGGGCCAAGGUACCAUCUGGCUCUUUACCCUGAGGUUGGUCAAAGAAGGCAGGUGGGAGAAAUUCUGAUGUUAAGUUCAUCUUGGAUAGAUAUUUAUAUUCUAAUACUAAAUUUAGACAUUGUUUUGUGGCUUUAGUAAUUAUAGAACUGUCUUUUACUUAGAGAAAAAAAAAAAAAAACAAACAAACAGAGAAUUCAUCAGCCUGACAGUUUUCUCUGGCAGGGAAACAUAACCUUAAUAAAAAUGUUCUUGAAAAAGUUUAAGGAAAAGAAAAUGAGGUUGUAUUUUGGUUAGGUCACAAACGUGUUCUACAUAACAACUGCACAUUACGACACUAAAAGAGUGUUUGCCAUAUAAGGAAUUGUUAAUAUUGGAGGUGUUAGCAGCUAUGAAGUAUGACCUAGAUAAGGCAUUAUAAGGAAAGAGAAAUGAUUAGCUUAAUAUAGCAGAAGAUGGUUUUGGGCUGAGGUUUGGGCAAAUGUUUGGGGAAGGAGGAUAUUAGAGGCAGGAAGUCACUGUAGAAGCUAUUUAAUGUCUUCCAAGAAGAGAUUGGUGCUUAAAAGAAACAGUAGCCAAGGUGGAUGGAGUAGAUUUAGAUAUCUAGGAGGCAGGAUAUUUGACCAAAGGGCACAUACUGAACAUGGGAUGACUUUUUGGUUUUACGGCUUGGACAAUGAAAAUAAACAAAGAGGACUGGGGGAUUUUAUUUGUAGUGUGUUAUGUUUUGUAUCUUUCUGAGAGUUUAGAUAAAUAAGAGCAGUUGAAAAUAAUCAUCCAUAAAGGCAAGGCUAUAUUAGAAAUAAAAACUGGAAAUUUUCUUUAUGUGGUAAUGCCUUGCAUGAAAACACCUAUGAAUAAUAUUUAUGUAAAAGAGCAAAGAAAGUCAACAAUAUAGCUAUAUAAUAUACUUAAAAGUAGCCUCAGAGAUGAUUUAGCAGUGGUUUUCAAUAUUUUUAGCUUCAUUAGGGGCAUUAUAUGUCUAACAUAUAAAACAAACACAAAAACAUUCCCUUUAGGGAUUAAGAUGGGGAACUUGUCAAUAUUAUUUCUUUGAAUAUUCAUCAGUUCCUGAAGCACACAGGAACAAUUUGAAAAUUGCUGAUCUUGUUUAAUCUUCCCAUUUUAUACACAAAGAACUGAUAAUAGGAAAAUCAAGGUCAUUUGCUUGAAGUUUCACACAGUCCCCAUUUGCAAGGAUGUGUAACUGUAGAGAAAUAUUCGAGUACAGCUUUGUGCCCUACCACUCACAGGCAGUGUACCUCCUGCCAUAGGAGAUGUUCAACUUUUUUUUUUUCUUACUGAAAACUAGGGACAAUGUCUUUAUUGUCAGGGUUGUGAAGUUAAGAGUUUGACAAAUAAAACUGUUGUUUGCAUUAAUUUCUGCCUCUUUAAUCAAAAGGAAUUUGAGUUGCAUUUUUGUUAGAGUUUAAAGGUUAGGCAUAAUAAGAAUGUGGAUGUCUGAUUGGAAAAUUAUAUUAAAGGGAGAUAAAAGUUUCUAGAUCACUAGCCAUGCCCAGGACCUACUUUAAUUAUUUCAUUAAUAAUCCAUCAUUCUUCAUUCAUUAUCCCUAAAUGAUUAUUGUAUUUUGGGUACGAAUCUUAACCCCUGGAAGAAUAAUGCUAGUAUGUAUAAUCUGCAGAGGAAGUAAAUAUAUAGCAAUAUUUUAUUAUAUGUCAUUACUACAUAUAUCUUAAUGUAAUAUUUUGUUAGUGUAGAAGAGAAAAGAAGGGAAGAGGGCCUUUAUACAGGUUCAGAAUGAGUUGAGUUUCAGAUGUUGAAUGUAUGUUUAACAAGCAAAGAAAAUGUCAUUUCAAACAGAAAACCAUGAAUGAGACCUCCGCAAUUCUAACAUUAAGGAGCAUGCUAUAGGAAGGUUCAGAAAGUAGGUUUUAAGAAAAGUGAGUUAAUGGAGUAUUGACUUUCGAGGUUAAAUAUGUUAAAAAAUUAAAGUGGUUAUCCCAUUUGAAUAUAAGGAGGUCACUCGUAAUAUUUUCAAGAAUUAGCACUUUUGAGGGGUACAUGCAGAACCCAGAUAGAGUGUUAAGAAAUGAGUGGAGUUAAAAUAUGAAAAACAUUUCAACUACUACUUCAAGAACGAUUGGUGGUUAUCAACAGGAGAAAUAUUGAGAGAAAACUUGUAGACACUAGGGUACUGAAGGAAAAUUAAUUAAGAUAAGUAAAUUUCUAUUUAUGAAAGAAGAGAAAGGGCCAAAAUAGAGAGGACCUUUGAAAACGUAAAGAUGCAAGGUCAAUUGCCUAGGUGGAAUAGUCAUACUGUCUCUGGGAAAAGAUGGGAAUUUCAAUACAGAUAUCUUUAAAGGUACAUUUGCUGAACCUCUUCUGUCCUUUUUCCUGUGAGUCCAAUCUGAUCACUAUUAAAACAUGAACUGUUCUACUACAGUAGCAUAGGCAUCCACACAUGGAUCUUGGUUGUUUCCUUAGAGAGGGCCUCUAUUAUUACCAAACUACUCAAAAUAAAGGUUUGAGGAACAUGACUAAUUAAGAAUGCUAGACUGUGAGGAAGCAAAAUGUGAUUUAAAGGAAACCAGCCAGACAAAGGCACAGACCAUAGCAAUUCUGAUAUCAAAAUAAGAAUCUUUAAUGAUCUUCUGGAACUAGGGUCAGUAUCAGUGAUCAUGGAAAAUUAGUUCCUCACAUUCCUUCAAGGAUACUUUGGCUUCUUUAUAUAAAAUUCCUUGGGAAGACUCCAGAAGUCACAGUUGCUAUAUGUGAAAUUUUGUCAUUUCUUGUGGCUUGAUUAAUAUGCACGCCCUGAAUUAUAUGCUGCACUAUAAAAUAUUAUAGCAGUGGUCUCCUGAAAAUGUAAUAUAAGCUGAAAAGCAUGCCAUACAUCUUUUGUUAAUUCUUCAGAAUGCUCUAGUAUUAAGGCAUAUUUUGUGAGAAAAACAUCUUUUGAUAUAUAAGAUAUCAAUUCUUAAUUCCACAUGGGAAAAGUCUUUAUAUACUAUGAGGUGCUAGUUAUGCAUAUUUAUGGACAGAGAGAAAUAAUUAAGGUCUACUUGAUUUAAAAAACAAAUUUAGAAACAAAUAAAAAAGGAGACUUCAAAGAUAGAUUAUCAUCAAAAUAAAUUAUCCAAAAAACUGAAUAUCACAGCAUUGCAAGGCAAUAGAAUUUUCCUUAAACUUACAAAUCCUACAUAGGAACAUUGGUCUUUCUGGUCAAGAUGGAAAAUAUAAUUGUGAAGAACACAAUAACCUGCAUCUACAUGAGAAACGAGAGUCAAAGAAACACAAAAUAGAUCACAAAAUUAUCUUAUUUAAACAUGAAAUAAAUUCCUUUUCUUCAUGUGGUUUUAUUUCUUUCAUUUGAAGUGACUACAUCCCACUAUUAUCAUAAUUAGCUGAAUAGUAAUAGACCAUGUAUUUUAAAGUGGAUUUCAUCCUUUUCUGAAUGGCAUUGUUCACUUUGGUCUCAAAAGAUUUCCAUGCAAUUUAUAGAAAGGUAUGACUAGAAGAUAUCUCCAUUGUUUGUUCAUGGGCUAUGCUUAAUUAUAAUGCACAAAAUAGUUUCUCUUUAGUUGCAAGUAUCCUAAAUUAUGGAUUCAAAGUUUGUCUUAUUUAAAAGAAGUGAAGACAGCUGUUAAAAAAAAAUUCCAAGUAGUUCUGGAUCAAAAAUACAUUUUCAUGAUAGAAAAUUACCUACCAAAAAAUGUGUUCUUUGCAAGGGGCCACAUUUUAAUUUUGAGAAAGUUAAAACUGACUUCUUCUUACUGUGGUAAUGUGCCACUCCUGGUGGGACACAGCAGGAUAUUCAGUGGAGAGCCUUAACGUUUUUCUUUGUUUGAAUGUUUAAAUAUAUUGAAUGUUAGAGCAAAUUUAAGGAUGUAAAUGACUGAGACAUAAGGCAGCUGCAGACUGCUCACUAAGAACAUUUAUCAACACAUUUAAUCUGCAAUUCAUUUCACAUCCCAUCUAUAGAGCCUCAUGUCUAUUACAUGGCAUUUAGAAUGAAGUAUACUUGAAGCACAUAACACUUUCUUAAAUAGGCAAAAUGGUAUAUGUCCCAUGAAUUUUAAGUUUCUAUUUGAGAUGCUGAAAUAAUUUUAAAGAAAUAAAAGUGUUUUAAAAGAUUGGAAUAAAUAAGCCUGCUUUUCAACUGCACGUCUUGGGGAUUCUCUUGUUUUGAAAUGCAAUUACAGCAAUCUGUGGGUGGAAGUGCAGGCAUUUCAAUGAAGCUAUGUGGCUUUAUUUUUUACUUUGAUAUUCUUGGGUGCCAGUUACAAGGAGUCAGAAAAUAACACCUGAAUCUAGGGGGUUUAAAACCUGGCUCCUCUGCUUCCUAUAUGCACUUCCUUUUUGAGCCUCAUCUUCCUUAUUCUUGAAUGGGGAAAAAUAGUCCCUGUCUAUCCACAGAGUUUUGUGUCUUACAUAGUUAGUAUAUAAUUAAACUUUGAGCAAACAAAGUGAAAGCAUAUUAAGAUUUAAAUGCUGGUUUCCAAGUUAUGGCCAUUUGUCAGACUGGGAACAGUGCAAGAACUUUAAUACUCUUACAUUGUAAAUAAUUGUUUACCUCAAUUUUACUGAAUGACAAGUUUUGAGGAAGUAAAAUGAGUUCAUAUUUUUUCUUUGUGGCUGGAAAAUAGAAAAACAAAUGCAUAUUAGCCUGCAAGAUGCAUAAAACUCUUUCAACAUGAUUAUUACUAUUAUUAUCCUGCCUCAAUUUUUUAAAACUGAGAAUUGAUUAGCAAAUUACAGUUUCAAAUGAUUUAUUAUAUUUUUGGAAAAUCCCCCAAAACAUAAAGUCUGACACAAGGAUGAGCAUUAUACUAUUAGUUCCUUAAUAUGCAAAGAAAAUAAAGUGAAACAUUUUUGUUGUUGUUGUUAUUUUAUUUACCUUUCUAUCAGAAUUAGAAAGUCCAGUUGAAGGAUGCAUUUGGGGUUAUAACAAUUUCUUUAAAUUGAUUUUAAAAUUCUGAAUUAAGUUCUUUUUAACAUUUUGAAAGCUAGAAUCAAUAAUAGCAUUGUUGAAUUGAGCUGAUGAAACUCAUGAAUUUUCAUGAUAUCUAUGAAAAUUUAUAAGAAACAAUAAUUUGGAGAAAAUUUAAUCUUCUUAAAAUUGUUAAAGUUGUCUGAGGAAAUUACAAAACCCAUAUUGAAUGCAAAGAAUGCUUUCCAGGAUAUCAAAGAGACCUUCAGGAGAUUCAUGAUCAUGACCCUGUAUCUCUUUCUAUUCCUCUGUUAGUAUUGAUUUUUCUCACACCAUUAAUUGAGUCAUAUUCAAUUUCCUUCAUCUCUGCUAAUGUUGAUAAUACUUAUUAUUCAGUGGCUACAGAGGUUACUGAAGUAUUGUUUAUUAGUUUGUUUGAAAAAUUGUUUUCUUUUUGAGAGAAUUUUAAAUAGUUAUAACUAAUCAUUAGCAUUUUUGCUUUAUUUUAAACAAUACACAAAAUGCAUUGGUCAGCAUUCUUUGGAGAAUUCACUCUGUAUCAACAGAUCUGGUGUGAAUCCUUCUUGCUCUUAAUAUUUCAGUAGCUACACUCUCUUUUUCCAUCAUUUGGACAGGCAUUUAGAAAUAUGAGUAUGUGUUUUUAACUGCAACUCAUUUAUCAUUUGACAUGACCUUCUUGCUCUAAUACCCAAACAAUUUCUGCAACAUGAAAAUGAGUCACAUGUUGGAAAUGUAAUGGGUCCUUAGAGGAUUUUUAUAGAAAGUAAGGACAAAAUUAUAUAUAUGUAAAAUUAAAAAACCAGGUGCUGGAUGAGAGAUGAUAUUAGUGCUAUAAACUCAGAAGAACUGCAGUAAAUAUAGGAAGAUGUGAUUUUCAGGGGACAUGGGGCAGAGAAGGGGGAGGAUUACUAUAACAAAGCUGACAGCCUAAACGAGGCUCUUUCCGUAAAGAAAGGGAAGGCAAAAAUCUAGUAUGCUAAGCUUCCAGGUGGGCAAAGUGUGUUGGAAAAUGAAUAAUUUUGUUAGAAUACCUUAGAAAAUGCAAUACAAUUAGAAAGCAAAAUAUAUAUUCCCUUUAUUUGUUCCUAUAGUUUACAUAGCAACAAUAAUUGAAUAAACAACCUUUUUUUUUCCUUGUGAACUAAUGGCAUUGAUACAUUAAAUAACAAUAGAGUUCAGUUUUUCAACAUGAAUUUCUUCUCAUUAGAGAGGGGCACAAAUAAAAGGUGGUACACAUGUUAAAUGAGCAGUUAUAAUGUGUUCUUUCUAUCAAAGGCCAUAGGAAACUGGCUCCCUUGCUAUAAAUUUGAGGCACUACUUUCUUUGAUCACAAACUCAGAAUCUUCCUGUGCAUGUGAUACUUCUAUGAUGGAUACUCAGAGCUUAAUUAUAUCAACCUACAUUUAGACUGUAUCAGUAGAAAAAAUAAGAGCAUUUGAGAUUAUUUUUAUAUCUAGCAAAAAAUGUCUCAUCCAAAGGAAAUGUUUUCUAGGUUUAUUUGUUAAAGAUUUAUUUCUUUGGUCCAAAAUAAUUCAAUUCAAAGUCAUAUAUUUAAAUUACUUGAAACUUUGCAAAAUAGAACUAUUUUUUUUUCACAGUUAACAAAAAAAAGUCAAAUUUUCCUCCUAUAAAUAUCAAAUCUUUCACACCUUAGACUAUUAGCUAGUAUCGGCAACUUCCAUAGAAUUUUCUCUGAACUCAGAUCUUGAUUAUUCAUGCUAGAACAACUGAAAGCUUGAAACUGUCAUACAUAUCUACAAAACAAUGGAAUGAAUUUGUAUGUAUAAAUAAGAGUGCACUUUGUACUAGAGAAUAGUGGACCAAGAAGCAACUAGAAAAUUGCCACUUUUCUAGCAGUUCUUCACCAUUCUUGACAUUUCAUUCCACACUAGCAAUGACAUUAUCAGAGUCUUUUCAUGGCCAAGUGUGCCAGUAGUGAAUCUGAGAUUGGGGUCUAUUGAUUGUUGCUAUCAAAAUACAUACCUAUCUACAUCUACAUCUACACAGAAAGACAGGUAAGACCCCCAAAUUACUACCUGAAGACCUGAGUUUGAAUGCCCUGGCUUUAUAACUUAUUAUGGCAUUAACAAAUCACUUGGGAUCCAUUAGCCUCAGUUUUGUUUCUUUUCUUUUCCUUCCCUUUCUAUCCUCAUAAUGGAUAUAAAAAGACUUAGAAAAUUGCCCAAGGAUUAAAAGAAUCUUUGAAACAUAUUUUAUAAAUGGAGAUCUAUUUGUGUGUUUGUUCAUUACCCAGGUUUGAAAUGGGAUUAUAGAUAUUACAUAUAAGCAAAACCAAAUAUAUGUGAUUAUUUUUAUAGAUUGAAUGAAAAAAAAUAAAAUCAUCCACCAUUUUAUAUUUUUUUUUCUUUUUUUUUAAUACUGGGGAUUGAACCCAGGGGCACUUUACUACUAAGCUACUUCCUCAGAUUUGUACAACAGGGUAUCCCUAAGUUACAGAGGCUGACCUUGAACUUGUGAUCCUUCUGCCUCAGGCCCCUAAGUUGCUGAAUUUAUAAUUGUGCACCACCAUGGCACACUUUGUUUUACUAUAGGAUAUAUAACUGUACAGUUAACUAAAUCAAUACAUUAAUACUUAUGGAGCACCAAAUAUUGGAAAAUUUGUAUCUUUCUAUUUGGAUAGUGCUAAACUCUUGGUUUUACAUGGUAGAAUUCUUAUCAUUUGACAUCUGACCCAUUCAAAAUUAAAAAGUUGAGAGAAGAUAAUGCCUCUUUACUUAUUUACACAGAGUAUAUGACAUAUAAAUAUUUGAAAAACAUGAUGAAUGAUUUUUGUAUUAAUUUUGAGCCUCAAAGCUACUACAAACUAUAUUUUUCCUUUGGUAUUCAAAUUGGAAUAAUAGAUUCUAUCAUUUGAAAACCUUAUAUAAUCUCCCAGUCCCCAAACUGACUUGAUUGAAAAAAUAUGAGACAUCCUAGCCUCUAACUUAUUUUAUAGGCUUAUCUUUAUAAGCAUAGAGGAUUAGAGAAAAGAAAAGAGGCCGUUUUCUGCUUUUUAAAUAUUUUCCCCCACAGGAGAACUUAACAAGUUGUGAAGUGCAUGAAAUAAUUUAAGAAUAUCAUCUCAAACAUCCUUAUGGUUAGGCAUCUCAUUCACAAGUGUUAAAUCUACUUUAAGGACUAAAUUGUCAAGGAUCACAUAAAUUGGGUUGCUGCCAAAUUUCCACUUCAGUUUAUGCUGUGUAGACAGAAUAUGUAUCCAUAUGACCUGCAUGAAUCAGCCAUUCAGCUGUCUCAUGAGCUAUUUUAGCAAUUGCCUAUUGCCAAUUAGGUAAGAAAGUAAAUUCAUUAGCAUAAAUUUAGAAAUAUUUUUUGGUUAUGGCACUAGUUAUUUCCCUCCUACAUGCAAAAGGAAACAAAUAUUUUCUUAUUGAAAUUUUAAAAACUACAACUUAUAAUUUCUUAAAUUUGUUUAUGACUUACAAAUUUAAGAAAAUUUUUAUACAUUAGUUCUAACCAUGAAAACAUUUACAACUUUUCUAAUUUUACACAGAUGUAUUGAUAAGGAGCAUCAAACCAAAGUGUAAAGAUUAUUUACAAAUAAAUCUGAAAGACUAUCUUUUCUGAGGGGGGAAGAAACGUCUCAAAUGAAGAAAGAAGUUUACUAACUGAUAACAUCACUAACUCAGAUAAAUACAACAAAAUUAAUAUGUAAUAUGUGGCAAUAUCUUAGGCUUUUAAAGUUAUACUAAAGAGAUAAAAUAUUUUGAUUAGCUGAUAUUGAAGAUUUAGAAUUAAUAAAUGAUCAUAGUCUUUUAAUUCUUUUUCUCUGCUAAGAAUCAAAAAUGCAAAGCAAACAUUAUACUAUUUUGUAUAAAGAACACACUGGAAGUGGGUAACUCAUACAUGUUCAUGUAAAAUUAUGUUUAUUUUUAUCUUAAAUUGACUGUUUAAAUUUUUAAAUGUUCAAAAAGAGUAUUCAUCCCAAUCACUGAACUUCACAAACAAUUAAGAAUGAGAGUUUUCAUAUUUCUGUCAUGCUCCUGUUUAAAAGCUUGUCUUCCAAAUUUCAGUGAAAUUCAGCUGUUGAAUAUAAGUAGUUCCUAUUGUAUAAUACUAUAUACUAAAUUUGAAAUAAAUAAUGGGGUUCAGUGAGAAGUACAAAUAGAUAUCAGUCUCGUCAGUUUUUAUUUGUCUUAUUUUCAGUGUAUUUUAGUAUUAUAAUUUUAAAGAUUAUGUUAAUUUUUGAGGUUCAGAUUAUAUGUGAAAUUUUUAGAUUUAUUGUAUCCAUUAGUGGGCUUCUAUAAAAUUUAUUUGAGUGUCCUUUAAAGUCUUAGAGAAUGCUUUUUUUAUAUGAUUGAAUAUGCAUUGCAUGAAUUUUGAUCUUGCCACCAGAUGGCAGGAAAAAUCAAAGUCAAAUAGUUUUCAAUGAGCAACUUGAAGAAGGAUAUCUAUAUAUUUUUUUGUCGUGUGUGUGUGUGUAUGAGUAAAUAUGUAUGUUUUAGUCAUUUUGUGUUUUUCUAUUGUUGUCUUUUUCACAAAUCUGAAGACAUUAAUAACAGGGUGAACAUGCAGUAAUACCUCACUGGUAAACAUUUUCAAUUUUUCAUUAUAAUCAUGCUAUGGAUAUUGUUUAUUAUAUUCAUGCUAUCAUUGAUAUCAUGAAUUUGAAAAUUAUAAUUAUUAUUUUAGUAACAUUUAGAUUUUUAAAUAAUGGUUACUAUAGUCCCCAUACUUUUCAGGGUUGAAUAAUGGUUUUCUGAGGUCAUUAAUAUACAGGUCUCUGUGUAUCAAUUAUGUAUCAUUUGUAUUCAUUUGUGGAUACAAUAAUGUAAUUCAUAAAUUAUGAAUACAAUAAUUUGCUCAAUUUUUAUCAUUAUAUUCAUUGAUAAUAUAAUGAACUGUAUUAUCAAUGGAAAGUUAACAGAAAUGAUAAUGAAUAAAAAAGGAAGCUAAUCUGUCACCUUAAGGUUAGUUCUUUUUGAUCAAGGCCAUGCGGACACUUUUCUGUAGCGGAUACAUAUCUUAUUAUUUAACAGAAUAAACCCUUGAAUAUCUUAGUACUACUUGACAUUGUCUGUAAAUAAAAAGCAACUUAAUUACAAAGAAGAAUAAAGUCAGACAAAAAAAUAUUUGCCAAACUGCAGAAAGAUUCAAUCAUUAUUUUAUAUUUUUUUCAAGUAUGUUUUCUGGCUUUCAUUUUUCACAAAAAGUUCAGCCCCUUAACAAUGUGAAUAUGUGCAAAGUAUAUAAAUGAAGCAAAUAAUUUAAAAAUUUAAAAUUUAGUGUGCUUUAAUUAAAUAAUUAAAUAAAAUACAGUAUGGAUACAUCUUUCAUUGCUCUAAUAAUAAUUAAAUUGGUUUAAUCCAUUUACUUCAUUUAUUUUUGACACAGAAGUUUUCUUAAUCUUGCUCUGAAGUAUCAUUAUUGUAUGAAUAAAGGCAGGCAUUACUUUCUACCUUUACUGAAAGAAAAAGAGUAAUUAAAAUUAAUUCACCUAAUUAAAUUAGGUUUAAUUCAUCAAUGUGAUCUUUGCAUAACAUUUUCAUUGGCACAUUAGCAAACAAUUUUGGACAGUUUUUUUUUUNNNNNNNNNNNNNNNNNNNNNNNNNNNACCUUACUGUCUAUAAAGCAUACCUUAUGAUACAUUACUCAUCCAGAGUAACAUCCAACUGGCGCUGUGUUAGAAACUUAUUAUGUCAGAUACUGAUUAGUUUAAAUCUUGCUUUAAAAUAAUUACCUUGAGUCUAUUUGGAAUGUGACUGCACUAUUUUGCUAAAUAUUGAAGUUUUAUGCCUUAAAUGAGAGAACAAAAAUGGAAUCCUUAUUUCAUUCUUUUCAUCCAGAUUCAUGUCAGGUCAGUAGAAAUGCAAAUAUAAAGGUAGGCUUAAAUAAGCAUAUAAAUAAAGGUGAAAAGGAAAAAAAAUAAGAAAUAAAUAUUUUUAAAUGGCAAAUUAAAGAAAUCCUGCAUCAUUUCAUUGAAUUCAUUUAUAAAUUAAGACUGGUGGGGUGGGGGAGAACAGAGAAUAUAAAUUUAACUCAAAUAAUUUUACCUUUGAAAAGAAACUGACUUCCACCUUUUUCAUCAACCUAUCUUAGAGAAGGAAAGUUAGAGGGAAAAUGUACAUUAAAAAAUUGUUCCAGGUAUGGUGGCACAUUGGGCACAUUCCUGUAAUUCCAGUGAUUCAAGAUGCUAAGACAGGAGGAUUAUAAAUUCAAGGCCAGCCUUAAUAACUUAAGGAGGCCCUAAGAAGCUAAGACCCUGCCUCAAAAACAAAAACAAAAACAAAAAUAGGGCUGUGGAUGUAGCUCAGUGGUAACGUACAUGGGUCCAAUCCCCAGUACAAAAAAACAAAUAAAUAAAAUAAAAAAUAAAUAAAAAUUAUGUUUCUAUGUGCAAUAAAAUGUUCCAUGAAAUAUGUACUCAGCAUAAAACUGGGUCAUCAAUGAUUUUCCGACAGGAGUGUUGCCAAGGCAAAUUUCCUGUGAUAAAUAUGCAGUGACUUUUCAAACCAUGUCAUUUUAUAAAGGAGAGCUAGAUACCAGGAAUUGCAGAGACUUUAAACAGAGGAACUUAACUUCUUAUGCAUCAAAUAUACAUCCCUAUAUAGGGCAACUGUCUCUGUUGGCAUGCUCUUGCUCUAUAAAAACAACUAAUAUCACUAGUAAGAGUAAUCUGAAUCUCAGGUUAACCAUUUAGUUUUGCUUAUUCAACAAUAUUUGAGGGCUAUGACCAUCUGUAAUCAAUUUAGGAGUUAUUUGUGAUAUCUGAGCAAAAUUUGUUCCAGAAUAAUUUCAAAUUGACAACAGAGGCUUUUUCUAUGACUUUGAUUACCCAUGGAAAUCUUCACAUUUCACCCAAAACAGAGGGGGAAGUUUUUACAUGGAACUGGAAAAAAGUGUGUGUACUUUAUUUUUUCAUUUCACUAGUUUUGCUUCUGAGGAUUUAUGAUAAUUAUAGACCCUAAUAACUAAGCAAAAAUAUAUGUGCCCAGUAAAAAACUGAAAAAUUUUUCUCUAAGGUAAAAAACAAGGCAAGAAUGCCGAGCCCUACCACUUCUCUUGGACACUUCUCAUGGGUACUGGAAGUCCUAACUAGAAAAUGAAAUAAAAGGCUUGGAAAUUGAACAACAACAAAAAAAGCUAACAUUAUUGUCUCUGCAGAUGAUAUGAUCUUAUUUGUAGAAAAAUAUUGUUAGAAGUAAUAAAUUCAGUAAAGUUGCAGGAUACAAAAUCAAUGUACAAAAUUCAGACGUCUUUAUAUACAAUAACAAUGAACCAUCAAAAAAUGAAGAAAAGAACUUCCUUUAUAAGAGAAUUAGAAAGAGAAUCUCAGGAAUUAAUUAAAGAGGUGUUUUAGUCAGGUUUUGUGUUGGUAUGACCAAAAGAUAGGACAAGAACUACAUAAACGUCGUAUUCAUUUUGGUUCACAGUUUCAGAGGUUUAGCUGUUAUGGGCUGGCUCCAUAGCUUUGGGCCUCAGGUGAAGCAGAAUGUCAUAGUAGAAGAAUGUGGCAGAGGAAAACAGCUCAAAUGUGGCAGCCAGGAAGCCACCAAGGACAAAACAUAAACCCCAAAGACACACCUUCAGUGACCUACUUCCUCCAGUCACACACAUAGUUAAUCCAUAGCAGUGGAUUAAUGAGAGGAAUAGGUUACACCUCUCAUAAUCUAAACAUUUCACUUUGAAAAUUCUUGUAUUGUCUCCUACAUGAGCUUUGGGGGAACAACCCUUAUCUAAACUGUAACAAACUCAAUAGUAGAAAAGUAAAUAACCCAAUCUAAAAUAAUUGCAAAAUCUUGAAUUUCUCUAAAGAAGACAUACAAAUGGUGAAAAAGUAUAUGAAAACAUUCUCAAUAUCACUAAUCAUCAGGGAAAUGCAAGCCAGAAGUACCAUGAACUAUCACUCAUGCCUAGUAGGAGGUUGCAAAUGUUCCUAGGUCUAGACUGGUGAGGCAGAAUACUCCCAUGGCAAAUCAGGCAAAGCAAAAUCACUACUGAUAUAUAGGCAGCAAGUAUAAACAGAAGGCUAUGGUACAAGGAGAGCCAGUUCCCCGGGGCUUAGGAAAACUGUUGAGAGCACAGGGAAUCUUGUUUGUGCUUGUCCCAUAUCACACCACAGCUAAGACUUCCUUUAAACACAUAAUCCUGAUUUUUAUAAUCUGGGUAUACUUGCUGAGGUCAAGAAUUAUAGAAUAUGAGGACACAAUCUGGGUUAUUACAGACAUUCCUUUCUUAUCUCAGGAUGUUGCCUUCUUGUAAACAAUUUGCCCCAAAAUUGCAAGCAGAAGGGAGAGAUUUGGGUUACUCAAGGCUAUCUAAGAGCCUGACCUGAGGAUAUUUGUUAUCAGUCAGGAAAAAAAAAAAACACAAAAGCUGGCAAGGAGGUAGAGAAAUUGCAAUUCUUCAACACUGUUGCUGGGAACAUAAAAUCUUGCAGCUGCUGUGGACUACAGCAUGUCAAUUCCUCAAAAAAUUCAAUAUGGAACUAUAAUAUGAUGCAAUAAUCAUAUUUCUGCAAUUGCAAAAGAAUUGCAGUCAAGUCAGGAUCUCAAAGAACACUUGCACUCACAUUCACUGUACCAUUAUUCAUAAGAUGAAUCUUAGCCGAGAUGUAGAGACAAGUGUCCAUGAAUGGAUAAUGAAUAUAUAUAUAUAUAUAUACAUAUAUAUAUAUAUAUAUAUAUACACACACACACACAUAUACAAAUACACAUAAGUUUAUAAAUACAUAUGUGUAUUUAUAUGCAUAAAUGAAAUAGUUUUCUGUCUUAAAAAUGAAGAAUUUCCUGCCAUUUCAACUUUUGAGGACUUUAAGCUAAAUGAAAUAACCUAGCCACAGAAGAACAAAUACCACAUGGUUCAAUUUACAUGAAGGAAUCAAAAAUAGUCAAAUUAGCAAAAAACAGAGCAGGAUGUUAGUUUUGAGGUCCUAUGAGAAGGUAGAAUGGUAAGUUUAUGUUUAAUCAAAGAGUUUGCAUAAGAUAUAUUUUUUUCUUCAUUAUGUGAAAAUUGACUGGUAUGGCCAUCUAGGAAUGGAGUUUUCUUUGUAGGAAGGGUUUUAUAAUGAAUUAAUUUACUUUAAUUGGAUAAAACUAUUCAAUUUUUCUAUUUCUUCUAUUGUCAGUUUUGGUUAAUUAUGCUUUACAAGAAAUUCAUCUGUGUCAUCCAAGUUGUCAGUGUAUCAGAAUAACAAUAUUUACUGUAUAUCCUUGUUAUCUUUUUUUGUGUGUCUAUGAUCUAUCAUGAUGUCUCUCUUUUAGUCCUGUUAUUUACAAUUUGUAUUUUUACUCCACUAUUCUUGAUAAGUCUAGCUAGGCAAUUUUAUUAAUGCUAGACUGGAUUUUGCUUUACAGUUUAUUGUACUCACUUCAUUGGUUUUUCUUAUCAUUACUAUUUUCCUUCUGCUACUUUAUUUAGAUAUAAUUGGCUCUUUUUAAAUAUAGCUUCCUAAAAUGAUAGCUUAGAUAUAUUAUUUCAUGCUUUUCUUUUUAUUCUUGAAUUUCAUUCAAAUCCCCUCUUUAUCUACAUUUCCCACAUCAGAGUAUAUUGCUAUCUUAAUUCUCUGGAAUAAGAAUUUGUUAAGUGCUUGGCAAGGUACUUCUGGAUUAGGUCUUUCAUGCAAUUGUAGUUAGAUGGUAGCUGAAGCUAGAACACUGGAAUACAGGGGAGACACCCUCCUCUCUCAAGAGUCUCAGAGCCUCAUCCUGUGGACUCUCCAAAUUAGUGUGUUUAAAAUUUCAUAUAAAAUAGACCUGAAGACAUUCAAUCUCCUUACAUGGUGACAGAAUUCUGAAGGCACAUAUCCCAAGAAUACCAAAAAGAAAUCAUAUCACUCUUAGUGACUUAGCUUUCGGCAUCACAUAAUGCUACUUCAGCUUUAUUACAACUCUCCAAGAUUCAAAGAGUGUUAGAAGUUGCUAAAUUGCAUUGUAAGAAGAGAAUAUCAGAUGGGAGACAUUAUGGUAGCUAUUUGAAAUAUACAAUCUACCAUGUCACCUUUGAACCAUAGUUGUGUAUUGCUUCUUUUCAUCCAAUUUAUUUUUAUUAUGGUAAAAUAUAUAUAAGAAAAAUUGUCUCAACCAUUUUUAAGUAGUCAGUUCAGUGGUACAAAGCACAUUCAUAUCAUGGUAUAACUAGCACCAUUCAUCUAUAGAAUCUUCAUCUUAUCAAACUGAAAAUACAAUGGAUCAACAAUAACUCCCCAUUCCCACCUUCCUCCUGCUCAUUGCAACCACCAUUCUGUUUCCAUAUUUGUUUUCUACUGCUCUAAGUACUUCAUACAAGUACAAUCCUUCACUAUUUGUAUUUUUGUGACUGCCUUAUUGUAUUUAGGAUAAUGUCCUUGUUCAUUUAUGCUGUUGCCUAUGGCAGGAUUUCCUCCCUUCUUAAGACUUAAAAAGAUAACAAAGUUUAUACAUGAAAAGCACAGAGUGGACAUCACUAUUCACUAGUGAAAGACUGAAAACUUUCCCUCUAAGAUUAGGAACAAUGCUUUCACUGCUUCUAUUUAACAUAGUUUUGGAAAUUCUAGUUAGAGUGACUAGACAAGAAAAAUAAGUAACAAGCAUCUUAAUUGGAAACAAAUAAUCUCUGUUUAUACAUGAUGUGAUUUAUAUGAGUUUAUAUGUAUAAAACAAUUAGAGAUUAAACUAAUAAAUGAUUUUAGCAAAAUAGGAGGAUGUAAAGUUAACACAUAAAAAUUAGUCAUGUCCCCAUAUGCUAAUAAUGAAGAAUGUGAAAAAGAAAUUUAAAAAAACUCCAUUUACAAUUGCAUAAAAAAAGUUAAGAAUUAAUUUAACUAAGAAUGUAAAGGAUUUGUAUAAGAAAAACUACAAAAUAUUUCUAAAAGGAAUUAAAGAAGACAAGAGGAAUGAAUAUUUCAUUUUUUGUACAUGCUAUAUUUUGCUUUUCUAUUCUUUUGUCAGUAGACACUUUGUUUUUUUCCAUAUUUUCCCUGUGAACACAUGUAUACAAAUAUCUCUUUGACAUCUUACUUUCAAUUAUUUUAAAUAUGAAAUAGAGAAGUAAAAUUUUUGAGUAUAGGGACCCAGGUAUGCAAUGACUGGAUAAUAUGAUAAUUCUAUUUUUAAUUUUUUAAACAACAAUCAUACUAUACCAUUUUAGAUUCCUACCCACAGAACACAAGCGAUCCAAUUUUUGUACAUCCUAUAAGCACUUACUGUUAUCAUAUGCAGAGUCUUUUUUAUGUUACCUAGACUGGCCUUAAACUCCUGGGGUCAAGUGAUCUUCCCACUUCAGCCACCAAAUAGGCUCAGACUACCAAUGUGCAUCAUCACCACCUAAACACUUAACAAUUUUCUGGAAAUUUUUAUUUAAUUUUUUUUAGCAUUGGCAUAUGGUGGUCUCUCAUUGUAGUUUUGAUUUGCAUUUCCUUAAUGAUUAGUGCUUAUUGGCCAUUUGUAUGUUUCUUUGGAGAAAUGCCAAAUCAAAUCUUUGACCCUGAUGGACCAGGAUGGCUGUUUCUUUGUUGUUGAGUUUUAUGAGUUUUUAAUAUAUUUUUCUUAGAUUAUUAAUUCCUUAUCAGAUACCUGAAUUGCAAUUAUUUCCUUAUUCUGUAAUUACCUUUUUACAAUGCUGAUAGUGUCUUUGAUGUCUAAUUAAAAUGUUGUUUUCAAAAAGUUUAUAUAAUCUAUUUUUUUCUUUUAUUGUCUAUGCUUUCAGCAUCACAUCUGAUAAAUCAUUACCAAAUGCAACACCAUUACACGUUUUGCCUUUUGUUUUCUCCAAGAGUUUUACAGUUUUGAGCAAUGCAUUUGGUCAUGGAUCCAUCUUGAGUUAGUUUACACAUAUGAUAACGGUAAAGGUCAAACUUUAUUAUUAUUGUUAUUUUUUUUGCAUGUAAAUAUUUAAUUUCUCUAGAAAACUGUAAGUAUUAUCUUUCUUCCUUUCAGCAGUCAUGGCAUCCUAUUGAAAAGCAUUUAAAUACACAGGUGAGGGUUUAUUUCCAGACUCUGUUCCACUGACUUACAUACCUUUCUUUAUGCCAAAACCAUGUUGAUUGUUAAGUGUAGCCUUGUUCUAAAAUUUGAAAUCAGGAAAUGUUUGUCCUCCAGCACUGUUCUACUUUUUCAAGAUUGUUUUGGUCAUUCAGAGUUCCUUGAGACUCCAUAUGAAUUUUAAGAUAGAUUUUUCUAUUUCUGAAAAACUGACUGGGAUUUUGAUAGAAACUGCUUUAAAUCUAUAGAUCACUUUGGACAGUGUUGGCAUAUUACAAAUAUUAAGUCCUCCAGUCGUGAACAUGGCAAGCCUUUGCAUUUAUUUGUGAUUUCUUCAAUUCCUUUUAGAAAUAUUUUUGUACUUUUCUUUAUAUAAACCUUUUACCUACUUGGCUAAAUUGAUUCUUAAUGGUUUUUUUUUUUGGAUGCAAUUGCAAAUUGAAUUGUUUUCUUAAUCUUUUGAAUAUAGAAAUGGGACUAAUUUUUGUGUGUUGGCUCUAUAUCCUGCUAUAUUUUGCCAAAAUUAUUUAUUAGUUCUAACAAUUUUGUGAAAUUUAUAAAGGUUUCUACAUGUAAAAUCAUGUAAUCUGUGAAUAGAUAUUAUUUGACUUCUUCCUUUUCAAUUUAAUGUUUUUUAUUUAUUACGUUUGUCUACUUUCUCUGAGUAGAACUUCCAGUAAUAUGUUACACAAAAAUCAUGAAAGUGAUUGUCUUUGCCUUAUUCCUGAUAUUAGUGAAAAAGCUUUCAGUUUUCACCAGUGAGGAUGAUGUUCACUGUGGAUUUUCAUACAUGAAUUUUAUUAUAUUGAAGUAAUUUUCUUCUUUUCCUAAUUAGUUCAGCAUAUUUUGUAUCCUGAUAGAGUGUUGAACUUUGUCAAAUGCUUUUUCUUCAUCAAUUGGGAUUCCAUUUCUUUUGUUUUUUUUUUCCUUCAUUCUGUGAAUAUGGUGUAUUACACUGACUGAUUUUUUUUCUAUGUCCCAUGCAUUUCAGUAUGCAAAUUCUGAUAAAGAUGUGAAACUAUCUUUGAAUUCCAUGCAUAAAUCCUAGUUGGUCAUUGUAUAUAAUCCUCUUAAUAUGUUGCUGAAUAUUAUAUUGUUGAGGUUUUUCUAUCAAUAUACAUAAGGACACCAUAUGUUUUCUCAUAUGGUGUCUGUCUGGCUUUGGUACUAUGAUAGUGCUAGCUUCAAAUAAUGAAUUAGGUAAUAUUCCUCUUCUAUUUUUGAAAAAACUUUGUUACUUUUUUAAAGAUUGGUUUUCAUUCUUUAAAUACUUGUUAGAAUUCACCAAUAAAGUUAUCAGAUUUAAGGCUUUUCUUUGUCAAUAGAUUUCUGAAUACUUACUUAAUCUCCUACUAUUUAAUAUACUCAUCUUUAUAUUUCUUCAUGUUUUAAUAUUGGAAAAUUUUAUAUUUCUAGAAAUGUGUCUAUUUAAUCUAGGUUAUCCAGGUUGUUCGUGUAUAAUUUAUUACAUACCAUUUGGUGUACAAUUUCUUAUUCUCUCUUCUAAUUAUUAUUUCUGGAAUCAUUAAUAAUGCUCCCACUUCCCUUUCUGAUUCUAGUAUUUUGAGUCUUCUCUUUUUUCAUAGUCCAUACAGCUAAGUUUAUCAAUUUUGCUCAUCUUUUCUAAGAACUAAUGUUUGGUUUCAUCGAUUUACUCUGCUAUUUUUUUACUCUCCCUAUUUUUCAAAUUUUCCAAUCUAUUAUUUCCUUCCUUCUGCUAGCUUUGGGUUUAGUCCCUGCCUCACCACCCAGUUCCUUAUAUUGUGAAAUUAGGUUAUUGAUUUGAGAUAUUUCUUGCUUUUUAAUGUAAGCAUGUACAGUUAUAAAUUUCCCCCUUACUACUGCUUUCUCUAUGUCCCAUGAGUUUCAGUAUGCAGUGUUUCUGUUUUUAUUCUUCUGUAAGUACUUUCUGAUUUCCUUGUGAUUUCUUCUCUGACCAUGGGCUAUUUAAGAAUAUGUUAUUUAAUUUGCCAUAAAUUCUGAUUUUACCUAUUUUCCUUCUGUUAUUGACUUCUAGCUUCAAUCCAUUGUGGUCAGGGAAGAAACUCUGUAUGAUAUCUUUUUAAAUCUAUGGAAACUUAAUUGGUCCAUCCUUAUGUUCUAUCUUGAAAAAGUCCUAUGUGAACUGUGGCUAUUAGGUAGACUGUUCUGUGCAGUUCUGAGCAUGUCUAAUUUAUUUAGUGUGUUUUUCAAGUUCUCUCUUUUCUUACUUAUAUUCUGUAUGGUCAUGGUAUCCGUUAUGAGAAUGGGGUACUAAAGUUCCCAGCAAUGAUUAUAGCAUUGUCUAUCCCUCCAUUUCUGCCAACUUUUGGUUCAUAUAUUUAAUAUUUGCUUAUUGGCCUUAUAAAUGCUAACCAUUUUAUAUCUCCUUAUUGUAUUGAAACAUUAUCAUAUAAUAUUUUCUUUAUCUCCUUUAAACAUUUUUUUGUCUUUAAGUGCAUUUGGUCUAAUAUUAGCAUAGCUACCCCUGCUCUCUUUUGGUUACUAUUUUCAAGAAAUAUCUUUUUAUAACCUUUCAGUUUUGACCUAUUUGUGUCUUUUGUAGAAAAUAGAUAGUUGGGUUUUUAAAAUUCAUUCUUCCAUCUCUGUGUUUUGAUUAGAGAGUUUGAUCCAUUUAUAUUUAAAGUAAUUACUGAUAAGGAACUUAAGUUUACUAUCUGUUCUAUUAUAUGCCUUACAACUAUUUUUGUCCCUCAUUUCUUGCAUUGCUAUUAUUUCUUUUUUCUUUUUUUUUCCGGUAGUGAAACAUUUAAAUGACUCUCUCAUUUAUUUUUAUUUUCAUUCUUUACUUAUUUUUUGUGUUAUUAGCAUGGAGAUUACCUUUAACAUUCUAAAACUGUAACAUUCUAAUUUGAGAUUAUGCCAGUUUAACUUCUAUCAAUCUGUGCUUCCUUAACAAAUUUAUCUUUCUUCCUUUCAAUUGUUAAUGCCAAAAUUACAUCUUUAUAUAUAUGUGUCCAAAAACAUAAACUAAUAAUUUUUAAUGUGCUAUUCUCUUAAAUCAUAUGAAACACACAAUGUAGAAUUAACAAACAGAAGUUACAAUGAGACUAGGUUUUAGACAAUAUUCGGGAUUUUAUACCUCUUAAAACAAGUAGAAAAUUAAAAGUGGGGUUAUAUAUGAUUGUUAUAAUAAUAGCUUUUAUGAUUGCUGUGGUUUUUAUCAUCAUAUGCUUUUGAGUUAUCUGUGAUCUUUUAUUUCAACCUAUAUGACUCCCUUCAGCAUUUUUUUUUGCAGAGAAAGUCUAGUGAUAACAAGCUCCUUCAGCUUUUGUUUACAUAAGUAUUUCUAAACUAUGUCCUUCAGUUUUUGUUUUAUUGCUCUAAGCAUAUUGAAUAUAUUGGCCCAUUGCUUUUUGAGAAAUCUGUGGAUGAUGUUACUAAGGAUUCUGACCAGUCACUUCUUUCUUUCUAAUCCUAAAAUUCUCCUUUUUGUAUUUGGUUUUCAACAUUUAUUAUAAUAUGUCUUCAUCUAAGUCUUUUUGAGUUAAUUUCACCUGGAAUUAAUUGAAGUUUCUUGGAUGUUUAUAUUCAUGUCUUUCAUCAGAUUUGGGAAGUUCACACCAUUAUUUCUUCAAAUAUUCUCUGCUACUUUCUUUCUCUCUUCUCUUUCUGGAAUUCCACAAUGUGUUUGUGGCUGGAUGUCCUUGAUGGUGUCCUGCAAAUGCUUUAGAAACUAUUCAUGCUUCUCCAUUUAUUGUUUUGAGUCACAAUUUUCUAUUGAUCCAUUUAAUUCUAUCAUUUUUCAUUUCACAUAUUUUGAUGGUCUAUUAUUAGAUAUGUAAAUAUCUUUAACAUCUUAAUCUGUGUAGUUAAAAGUUUAUCUUAUAUCCAGAUUCAUGGAUUCUUUAUUUUGCCUAUUCAUAUCUGAAUGUGAAGCCCUCUAGUGAAUUUUUCAUUACAGUUAUAGCACUUUAUGAUUACAGAACUUCUUUUGGUUUCAUUUUUGGUUUUCUAACUCUUUAUUGGUAUUUUAUAUAUAUAACUUUAUUCAUAUCUUCAUUUAUCAUCUUGAAUGUCUUUAAGAUAGAUAUUUAAAAGUUUUUGUCUAAUAGAUUUGUCAUAAGGUUUUUUUCAAUGUCAAUUUCUGUUUAUAUUUUCCCCCAUUUGGGCCAUGCUCUUCAGCAUUUUUGCAUGUUUUGUGAAGUUUUGUUUAAAACUGGACAUUUGAAUCUAAUAAUGUGAUAACUCUGGAAAACAAAUUCUCUACUUUACAGGGGUUACUACUUUCUUUGUUUGUUUAGAAUGACUAAGUUGUUUCCAUACUAAACUGGCCUUAGAUAUAAACUUAAGUUCUUCUCAAACCUUUUCUGACCCUUUGCCUUUCCUCCGCAUGCACAGUGACAUCCAUUUCCCCUUACAUGUGUGGUUGCUCUUUAAUGUCUUUCUGUUAAAAGGAAAAGAAGGAAAAAUGAAGAGGUAAGACACCAUCCCAUUUAAUAUCAAGUAAGUAGCUUCAGCCAGAGUGGGAAAGGAUUGCAACAAUUAGUGUGCCUUUGCGAUCUGAAGGCAUAAUCUGGAGUCAGGACAGCAUGAUGAUAUCUGGAAGCCACUGUCUUUUGGCCUCCCCUGGUUCCCACAAGUUGUUCAAACUGCUCCAGAAAUAAGUGUGCAAGUGCUUGAUAUGGUGAUGAGGGAAGGGGAUCCUACUGCUAAGAGCUCAAAAUGACAGUUUAUCAUGAAACUUUUACCCAGGAAGAUUUUAUGAUCUUAGAGUAUUGGUAACAUUGUCAGAAAUCUUACACUUGCACCACAACUUUAAUAUACUUCUGUAGAUUUGAGAGUUCCCCCAAAUAAUUGUAUCAAACACAUUCUGCCAUUUUAAUUGUUGUCCAGGCAGGAUGACACAUUCUUGCUACUUCAUAUUCUGCCAUUUCCCAAGAAUCUUCCACCUAAGUGUUACUUUUUAACAACACAAUUUUUACCUGUUGCUCUUCUUUUCUUCAAAUGUAAUUUUCAAGCACAUUUGCUUAUUUCUGUAUCCCUUUUCCAAAUAUGGUGUUUAGUAUAUACCUGAUGCAUGCUUCAAAAUAUGCAAAAGUAUGAAUGAAAUUUGUUGCCUCUAUUCCAUGUCAUGGAUUUACUGAUUAUAUUUUUCUAAUCUGAAAAUAUUUAUUUUAAAUUUUUCAUUAUAUUGAUUCAAUAAUCCAUAUGAAUUCCAUUUGCCAUGUUUGUAUUUUAUGAUCUUAGAGCCUUGGUAACACUGUCAGAAAUCUUCACACGCACCAUCAUCUUUUCCCAGUUUCUUUUGUAUUUACAGACUUAAUUCCCUUUCUAACAGUGAGUAAUUCCAUAAGCAAGCUUUUUAUAGCUUUAAUCUAAAUCUUCUUAGUGGGUGGCUAACCUUUGAGAGUCACUGUUUGAAAAGUCUCAUCAGAAAUAUCUGUUUUCAUGGCUCUGUGUUAAUAUCAGACAUAAUCCAGAAAUUUUCAUAGUACACAUAUUUGAUCUGUCAAAAUAAAAUACUCAGAACUGCUGCCUUGCUUAUGCCCAAUAGAAACACUGUAAAUAAAACCAGCAUUGCAGUCAGUAAUCUAAAAUAACAAAAUAGCUUCGCUUUUUGAAAUAUAACCCAGAGCUAAGACAGGAGUAAAAGUAAGGUAAAAUUUGCCCAUGUAGGUACAUGGAAUUUUACUUGUUUUAAGUUGUUGAUGCCUCCUCGUAUUCUCUAUAUCCUAACACACAGAAUUGUUCCUGGGUUUAGGAGAAGGAGGGAAAAAUAGAGUGGGAGGGUAUAUGUACAUUCUCUCUCUCUAAAUUUUGACAUAUGUUCUAGUGUUACAAACAGAAAGAAGAAAAACCAGUUGCCAUUAUCUUAUUUUGAAGUCUUUAAAUCAUAACAGCCCAAGAUGGUUAGUAUUCAUUAUGCUAAGUCCAUAAAGGUUCAACAGAGAAGUCAUUGAAUAUAAAAGUCAAACAUUUAGGCAAUAAAAAACCAAACAUUUUUCUUAGCAUUUUGUUUCAGAAGCUUUUUAGUGAGGCGGUAAGAGAAGAUAAAACAUUAAUGAAGAGCAGGAAUUGAACAAGUGGGUUCCAGUUCUACCUUCCUUGUGUUCACAUUGUCAUUGCAGCCCUCAAUUUUGUCACCACUGCAACAACAUGAUGAGGUCCCUGGAGGAGUUCCUGAAGGAAAUCCCUCUCGUUUAGUAUAUUUUGUAUAAUUGAGACACAUUAAUAUUUUCAGAUUGUAGUCUUAUUACACGUUCAGAAAAGUAAACUGUAACACAGAAGAACUUUGGGAGCUGGGAGUACAACUCAGUGAUGCAACAUCUGCCUAGCAUGUGCAAGGCUCUGGGUUCAAUCUCCAGAACCACACACAAGUUUUUUAUCAAGAUGUUUUUUUACAAUAUAUAGAUUAUGAAGCUUCAAGGACUUUGAAACAUCAAAGUAUUGGAUAUUGAUCCCUCAAACUCCUGAAUAAUUUGUAUGUAGUGGGUGCCAUUUUAUUACUACAGAAGCAGACUUCAAGAUAUCCAGUAAUUUUUCUUACCCAGACCAGGGGCUACAUGUUCUUUUUACUCAGCUUUCAUUCUGAGAGCCAUGGUAUUCCAAUGGUUGGCUGGAAAUCUGUGUUGAUUCUCAUAAUAAAGCAGCUCACACUUUAACUUAGUCCCAACAUCAUGCCUAGAAAAAAGUCAUUUGUUCUAUAUAGCUUCAUUGACUAGUGAAAUUUUAACUAAAUGACAACCACAGUAACCAUUGCACACAUAAUAUAUCUAUAGGCUUAGUCCUCUGUGUAUUCCAUUCUAACACAUUAUUCUGAAACCUUAAAGUUGUUGGAAAACUUAUUUGAAUUUGGUGAGCUAAAAUACAAUGUCACAGGACCAUGUUCCUCUGCUAACUUUAUUUUGAAGUACACACCUCUAAACACAUACACACCCAGAAAAUCAUUUCUAACACACUUGUGUUAAUCAGUUUUUUCUCUUUAUUACCAAAAUACCUGGAAAAAAAAACAGCUUAGAGGAGGAAUAAUAUAUGUUGCCUUAUGAUUUCAGAGGUUCAGUCCAUAGUUGGCUGCCUACACUCUUCUGGGCUCAAGAUGAGGUAGAGCAUCAUGUUGGAAGGACAGUGGCAAGGGAAAGCUGCUCUACUCAUGGUGCGUGGUGGCCAGGAAAAAGAGGGGCAUCAGGGAGGAAGAGCCGUAGGUUAAGAUGAACCCUUUCAGGACACACUCCCUGUGACCCACCUCCUCCAGACCCUGCCCCCUACCUGCCUACACCCAUUAAUCCAUUCAAAUCAGAAUGGACUGAUUAGACUACAGCUGUUAGAAUGUAAUCAUUUCACCUCAGAAAAUUCUAGCAUUAACACAGGAGCUCUGGAGGAACACCACUUAUCCAAACCAUAAUACCACUGAAAAUUUCUUGAGUGUAGUAUUUGUUUCCAAAUCAUUUUGAUAUUCCUAUUUAUAGGAGACAGACAGAUGAUACAUAUUUGUUGGCUGCUGGGAGAAUAGUGUUAAUUUCCUUUAGAUUAACAAAUCUUGCCCUAUGCUCAGCAGCCUUUAGAAAUUCUUUCAUCCAUCAUUCAUCAAUGAAGUCAUCAGCUUUAAUUUUUUCAUGUAAAUAAAGCAUUUUAAAGCUUUUUUAAAAAAACUAACUGACCUUAGUAGAGGAGCAGUGAAUCCCAUAUUAGCCAGGGAAACAAUACAGGACUGUAAAAAUAUUAGAGCAAUUAUUUCUCAAUAUUAUGUAAGCAUUCUCAUUGUGGCAAAUAGUUUGAUAAAUUUACAUGUUAGAGUCUUUUGAUGUUCUGUUGGCUUUUAUUCUGUCAAUUGCAUGACUACACAUUUUAAAGUAUUUUCUUAUUGGCAUUCCCAGUUAGAAAUUUCCAUCUUUUUUUAAUAUUCUACUUCUGUGUAUCAUAAUAGCCAGUAAUUAAAAAUCUUUCUUAAAUGUCUUUAUUUAAAUUUAAAAUGCUUUUAAAAUUAAAUAUCCUUUACUAAAAAAGGGAAAUCACAUCCAAUUUUAUGAGUUUAUUACAAAAGGACUAGUAACAAUAUCAGUUUAAAUAAAUGAUGUUCACGUCACACUGUUAGGAACAUUCAUAGGAGAGUGACCAAAGCAGGGAAUAACCUUCAAUACUAUGAAUAAAAACUACAUACUGGUUCAAAUGAAACCAAAUCCCACCUACUAUUUCUGACUAAUUUAGUUUAUCCUAUUAUUUCUUUUGUAUUGUACCUGGUCUUCCAGGAAAGAUUAACCACUAAUGCUUAUUUCCUUUGAUUUACCAUUUAUCAUCUUUGUUUGACUCCUUUGGGAAUCACUUCAAAUAUUCAGAGAGCCUAUUGUAAAAAUCCCUUGUGAUCUUUUAUUCUGAAGGAUCAUAUACAGAAGUUUAAGAAGCUGAAAAGCUAUUAUAGAUGACAGUCAUUGGGAUUCUGUUCCUGUCAUGAAAUUGAAUCACUGAGAAUUAACACUAAAUGGCAGCUUAAAGAAAAAUAUAUGGGACAGAUGAAUGAAAAGAUUUUUGGAUAAAUAAACAUUUUUUUUUUUCUGAAUCAGUAAAUUUUUCAUCAAUUCCACAUUUAAAAAACAAAAGUUAAUAUUAAUACACUCAAAGAACAUAAGUAAGCUUAUGAAAGAAACUAUGGCUUAAACUUAGUCUCAAUAAAUUGAAAAUACAUUUAUUUGUAGUUUGCUAUAUUUGCAUUAAGAAAAGCAUUCUAAAAGCAAUUUAUAUUUAGAUCGACAUGAUCUUAUAAUUUCUUAUGGUAAAAUCAUAUAAACAUAAACCAACUGAAAGUAUCAAAUAAACCUAAAUAUUAUGAAAAUUUAUAGCAAACUAAUUUGAACUCAUAUUUUAGAAGUCAAAAGCAAUUUUAGAAAUCAAUCUCAAAAAGUUUUAGCAUUUUUCAAAGAAUAAACUGAAGUGCUUAGUAUACUAAAAUGGCAUGCAUAUUGCAGAGAACUAGAAAUAAUUUGAAUAUGAGAAUAUUAUUGGGCUGGGGAUAUAGCUCAGUUGGUAGGGUACUUGCCUUGCAUGCACAAGGCCUUGGGUUCAAUCCCCAUGCACCACACACAUACACACACACAUGCACACACACACACACAAGAGAAUUUUAUAAAAAAUAAACAUAAAAAUUAUAUUAAUGAAGGUAAAAAGACAAAAUAAUUUAUAUCGGGGAUACCACUCUCAGAGACAGAAUAUUAAUCGAACAUGUCUUGAUUCAUAUUUUCUUUCUGCAACACAUAUCUUGUCAUGUUACUAAAAUAUUCAAUGUCAUUAAAAUAUUCAAUGACUCCCAUCAUUGUUAGGCUUUGUCUAAGAAAUUUUAUAUGGUGUCUAGGGAUAUGACACCUGUUUUUUUCUCCACUAUAAUCCACUACCACGUAUGGAGUUGCUUUUCUAAUCCACCAUUGCAAUAAUGAAAAGAAAUCACUCUGCCAUGCUGAUACCAUCUGCUGAUAGUCUUCCUCUGUUUAUGUGAAAAAUUUCUGGUAACCAUUUAGUGCCCAACUGCAAUGAUACAUCCUUUUAUAAAAUAUGCCCUAAAUUUUUCAGAGAGAACUUAUGCCUUCAUGCUCACAUGUAGUUCUACUCAUUUACUUAUCAUAAUGUAUUGUGAUAAUUUGUCUACACAUGCUCCUCUUCUACUCAAUCAUAAGCUUUUGAAGACAGGGUGCUCUUACAGCUUUUAAUAUUUAUAAUGUAAAUAUCAAUGAUUAUUUGCUACAUUAAUUAAAUCUUAUCACAGCCCUUUCAGUUAUUAAUUAUUGAAACUGGCCUCAUCUAUUAUUUUCUAAUGCUAAAAUUAUUAAUAAAGCAACUAAUAAGCCCAAUCUUGUCAUUAAUUUUAGGUAGCCUUGCGAUAAGUACCUUGAUUUUUACUUUUCCCUGGCCUCUUUGGAUCAUAUUUUACUAUUUUUCUUAUUAUAGCCUAAGGAAAUGACAAUAAAAUGCUUUUUUCAUUGACUAUACUUCAUAGGUAGUGAAUUCGGACUCUAAGCUUUUUAGAAAUUUUUUGGAAAAUUAGAUUCUAAUCUUGAAAAAUCAUGACUUCCUGCUUCAAAGAAAGGUUGUAAAAGGUUUUAUAAGGCUAACAGAUGCAAGAGUCUCCUUGAACAUCAAAUGGCACUCAUAAAUUAUCAUUUGAUGAAUAGAUAUUGAUGAAUUAGGUAUUAAUGAAUCAAUUGUAGAAACUAAAUUGCCCUUCAAAUGUUCAUGUACAGAAAUGGAAAGUUUAAAUUCACUUAGUUUUCCUCCACACACAAACUUUAAAUGAAGGUUUAAAAAAACUCUAAUAUGUUUUUUUAAUUAGAGCUGCCCUAUGUGUAAAAUAUUUGGGGCAGCCAGAUUAUUAGGAGAAAUUAAUUCUCUAAAUAACUGCAUAGUAGCUAUUAAUGUUAAACUUCAUUAUAUCAACUGACACUUGGGAAAAUGAUAAUAUAGUGGCAUAUUUUGUAUAUCUUAGUCCAUGAAUUUCUUAAAAUAAUUAUAUAGUUGAUGUUAUAAAGGAAGGUAUACAAUAAAUUUCUAUACUCUUUUUGAUUUUGCUGUGAAUCUAAUACUGCUCUAAAAAAUCUGAGAAACCAUUAUAAGUUAAGUUGGUUUUUAUUUUGCUAAAACUAAAUAUUGACUUAAGCACCAUAAAACACAGUGUCAAACUGUUUCCCAGGUGCUUAUCUGAAAUCUAUUUUUUUAAUAAGCCAUCAAACAUAGGGUCAUAUUACUGUGUUACAUAUGAAAAUUUAGGAUUAUUAGUUAUUUCACACAUUGAACUGACACUAAUAAUAAUCUAAGCAUUUGCACAAAUGAUCAUUUGUAGAUCUCAUUAUAACAAUUAGACCUUAUAAUAAUUUUUAUUAUUUUUAUGAUUGCCUGUUCUAUGUGAUAUUUUACCUAAUUUUAUUCUUUAACAAUAUGUGUGUUUACCAAAAAGCAUGAACUCUUAUAGCCUUGUAGGAGUUUAAUAGCUGUUAUGCAAAACAUCUCCCUGCUUGAAAAAAUAAGUUAUUUAGGAAACUAUUUUGUUUGGAUAAUAUACAAAAUUAAAAUUUCUGUUGGUUACUUUUGCUUAUCUAAUAAUUUUAGUACAUAUCAAUUAUUCUAAUAGUGUAAAGCUAUUGAAAUAUGCAUAUUUAUUUUAUGUUGUGUCACAAUUACUGUACUCAGGAAGAAUAAAAUUUUUAAAAAAUGAAACAUAAAUGAAAGAAAAGGUAAGUUGUAUAUAAUGAAAUGGAAAGAAUGAUAAUAGACACGGUUUCCAAAAUUGGGUUUACCUUGGUUCCAUUUGUAUUGACAAAAUAAUGAUCCCACACUCCUCAAUAUUUUGAGGUAAUACAUAUAAAGAUUAAUGUGUGGGGAUUGAGGUUUUGGCUCAGUGGUAGAGCACUUGCCUAGGGCAUAUGAGGCACUGCAUUCGAUCUUCAACAUCACAUAAAAUAUAAAUAAAUAAAAUAAGUUGUUUUUUUUUUUUUAAAAAGGUUAAAGUGUAUACUUUCACUUUCUGUCUCCAAUACUUGCAAGUAAAGUUUGCAAUAGCUCUUGGGAGCAUAUCAUGGUGGUAUUUUUAUGCUGGUUAUAUAUACUUACAGAUAUUUUGUCAAUAAUGUGAUCAGAAGGAUCACAAUAAUGUGAUCCAUGUCUACUACUUUACUCACUUUUCCGCCUCUCACCAGCAUUGCCAAUGGUAAAAUAAACCAAGAUGAUGCAAGUGUUUUCACCAUCUUUUUUCCUUUACAUGUAUCUUACCUGAUAUGGCAUCCUUGGUUGGAGGAUUAAGUCCUAUGCCCUUUUCUAUGCCCCACUGAAAUGCUUAGGUUCUUUCUGAGGAAUAGGGAUUAAAAUAGGGAGGUGAGGAGAACAUUGAAUAAUAGGUAAUCAAAUACACUAUUUAAAAACUUUAAAUUCUCUAUAUCAACAAAUUAUACCUUUUAGUAAUUCAAAGUUCACUAGUUAAUUAUGUUAUGUAAUACAUGGUAUAGCUUUUACUCCUGUUAGUCAGCUAUAUUAAUUUUCAAAUUUUACCUGUAAAAUAGUUUAACUAUCAAAUGAUUCAGUGAUCUCUUAUUCACACAGUUGUUACAAAUGAACAAAAUUGAAUUUAUAAAACUUUAAAAUGUUUAUUAGUUCAAUUUUGCAGUAUCAAUCACUGUAAGAAAUUCACUAGAAAAACACACAAAUGCUUUUUAGACCCAGAGAGAUAUAGUUAGUAUGUAAAAUGUUAAUUAUUAUAACAUUCUUCAGUGGAGAGAUUCAUAGGGAUUCCAAUCCAGUAAUUUAAAAUAUGCUUAUUAAUCUCAAGCUCUUACCAGAACUCUCUUUAAAUUGCUUAAAACUAUUGUCUUUAUCUUCCUGAAUGCCUCAUUAUUUUAUUUUCUUGGAGAACAUGAACCUGACUGUGAGUUCUUUCUCUUCUAUAGUUCACCCUUGGACUUCACAAUGAGUACCAUCUUGCUUUGAACCCCCUAAACUUCAGAGAAAAUGCAAAAUAGCUUUUAGAGAGAGUUUUGAUUCAUUUGAAACAAAGGUGUCUUACUCUGGUCCUUUUUCCCUCAAAUUUAGCAAUUUAUAUUCUAUUAUGUAAAAAAAUUUUAUUGUCAGAUAAAUUAUUUUUAUAGUCAUUUUGUAUUUACUAAAUUGUUUAUAGUUGUAGUAUCUAAUUAAUUGUUUUCUUUUUUAACUGAUGAAUUACAUACAAUUUUGGUGAAAAGUACUUAAUGGAGAGUUACAUUAGCAAUCUGAAAAAUAAGGGUACAAAUUUUAUACCAAUUAAAUUUACAGAUAAUUCUAUAUAGGGAAGUGUUUAGGAUACAAGUGAUAGUAUAGAAAUAAUGCCAGAAAAAUCCCUAAAAUCAACAUUUAAGUGAAUUUUAAAAUUAUAUAAAAAUUACAGCUUGCUUUUUAGCAACUAGUGUAGAAUCAUUAUAAUAUAAAUAUGUGUUAAGAAGUAAAAUAUCUGUGAUUAGUGGCCAUGAAGUUUGAAAUUAUAAGUAAACAUGAAAUUUGAUGUAAACAUGAAAGAAAUAAUUUCAUCAGUCAUAUAAAAUAUUGUAUUUGUUCUUUUGAACGUGUUUCUGCAAGCAUAUUUUUUCUAUUUUCUCAUAUUUAUUAUAACUAUUGAGAAGUUCCCAGAGCUAUGAAAAGGAUGAGACAAAUGUAUAAUUUGUUUAAGAGAAGUAAUUAUAUGACCUCCAACAUAACAAGUUGAUACAAUAAAUUGCUUGAUUAUUUAAAUCCAUACAGAUUUCUAUAACAAAGCAGUUAUUUAUUGAACAAAAUGCUGUAAUUAAAGUUCUUUAAAUUGCACUCUUACAUUUUGCUCAGGAGAAUAUAAAAUAGUCUUAUUAUUGAAGUUUAUUAAGCCAAUAUAAAUUAACUAAUUGUUGUAUUUUUAUAUUAGUUAUUCAGCCACAUUGGACAACUAGAAUCUACUCUCAUGUGUCAUUGUACUCUUUGAAGCCACCAUGAGCAGUUGUGUCUAACUGUAAUUAUUUAGAAUAGCAGAUGGGGUUAAGGGAGUAUUAUUCUCUUAUUUAUCUUACCAAAUUUAUGAUGAGACUGUGAUGAUUUUCAGGAGAAUCCUAUUUUUUUAGAGGGGAAUAUAUGCACUAGCAUUGUUUCUUUAAAAAAAUGAUCUCACAAAAACAAAAUGUUAUUUUAGAAUUUGUAGACUCUGAAUGAGUCUGCAUUGAUUCUUGCAUAUAGAUCUAUUUACAAUAGGAAGUAGCAAUAUACUGCUGUAUAAUUUUUGCAUAAGUGUUUUCUCGCAUAAUUCUCACCAAAUAUAGAUUAUCUGUGGUGUUGCAGCAUAAAUGUCCACUUUGAUUUGUAUUACCAUUCCCUGUUCAUAGUGAAUGGAACAUCUAGUACAUCAUUCGUAGCAUCUGAAAUGGUAAUAUAUUUCAAUUCUACAUAUGGGUGAGUAGUUCAUUUACAAUAUGUGGUUUUCCUACCACAUUAGAUCAAAAUAAUACAAAGUUUUAAUAACCAAUUUGAAAGUAUAAAAUUAACUCUAAAAUAAAAACUAAACUAUUGAUUUUGAAAAGGUAAGAUUAUUAUUACUGAAAGUUAUAAAGUUCUUUAAGUCUCAAAAGUUGUUAAAAUGAGUAUGGUGUCAAUUUUUUCUCUAAUGGUGAAGAAGGGAAAGUUAAAGCAUAUUAAAUAAUUAAUACAGAUUUGUAAUAACCCUAUAGUUUAAUGAGUUAAUAUUGGAAAGAAGAGUGGCAUUAGGAAUAUAUUCUUGUUAAUUGUAAAACAAAUUGCUUUAUCUAAAUGCUGAAGAGCAGACUGAGUGAACACUGAAUGCCGCAGUCUGGCUGGGCACAAUCAGGAGCCACUUGUCAAAAGAAACUAACUUUAUUUUUAGAACCACACACGCCAAACAAAACAGCCUCUCAGGAAAAACCCUCAGAGCCUCAACUGCCACCNCUGGGGCCGCUGUGAGCCAAUCAUCAGCCGGCAGCUGGAAGUUUGCUGGCAGCUGGAAGUUUGCUGGGGCCCCUUCGGCUGUGGCUCUCAACAACUGAAGUUCCCCUUAAUCUCAUAAUUUCAAAAUUAGUACAAUGUUAGGCUCAUUCUACUAAAUUCUUAGAUGAAAUAAAAUUAUAUAAUAUUGGCUGCAGUUCAUUGACAACAUCAAUUACCAAAUAUUUAAUGAGGGCCAACUGUGGAUCUGACACUUUUCUAGGAACUAGAUAUACAUAAAUGAGCAAGCCAGGUAAAAUAUUUGCCCUUCAGGACCUUAUAUUUACUUGAGAAAACAAAUAAAAUCAGUAAAUGAAAAUGGAGACAUAGAUAUAGAUAUGGGUAUUAGUUAUGACAAAAAAUAAAUAAAGGCAUGGGGAUAAAAUUAAAUCACAAAGUGUCUAUGAAGAUAUCUAUUUCUAUUUUAUCAGGUAGUCAGAGACCUUUUGGGUUAAGUGACAUACAAAAGAUAUGAAGUACCAAGGUUAUACACAGGAACUGUGUUUAUGGUCAAGGAAUAACAAAUACAAAGCCUUCAAGGGAGAAAUGUGCUGGGGGAUUUCAAGAAAUAGCAGGAAAACAAUGUGGCUGCAAAGGAAGAAAGAUAGGAAAAAAGGCCGGAGAGAUAAUUCAAAACUUACCAAUAUUCAAACACAGAAAAAUUCACAAAAUUAUAAUAACUGUAAGUUUUUUUUCCAUAGUUUUUAUGUAGUAUUCUCAUAGCACCAAGAGUAUGAACAUAUCUUCUUUUACAUUGUAGUUAUUCAGUAGAAAUUGUUAUGUUAUGUAUUUGUCUAAGUGGCAAUAAAUUAAAAUGUUAUAAUAAUUAAACUAUGAUCUACUGAAGGGUACUUUAGUCUGAUUCUAAUUCCAGAAUAUAUUAUAAUAUUAAUCACUAGAAGGUCAAAAUACCUAAUUGUUCAAUGAAUGAAUGAAUGCAUUAAAAUUCUCUAUUACAAUGAGCAAUAGCAUAACAUGGUUAAAAACACUGGCUGAGUGGUUAAACUGCCUGAAUUAGAACUGUUUCUUUGGUUACCAUGGGGAUUACAACUAACAUCCUAAAUUUAUAAUCAUCUAGUUUUUAGUAUAUCAAGUAGUUUCCAUAGUGUACAAAAAAUUUAUUUCUAACCAGCUUUUCUUCCAUGAUGUUGUUCUAGUCAUAGAUUAGAAUUUUUGUAUUAUGUGCCCAAUAAUAGAUUUAUAAUUAUUUUAAUGUAUUUGUCUUUUAAAUCAUGUAAGAAAUAAAAGUCAGAGUUACCAAAAUGCAAUAAUCCAAAGUGUAUCAAUACUAUCUUUAAAUUUACUUAUGUAGUUACCUUUACUGGAGGAUAUUAUUUCAUUUUAUCUCUUCAAGUUGUUGUUUAGUGCCCUGAUGGUUCAACCUGAAAGACUCUCUUUAACAUUUCUUCUAGGCAGGUAGAUUGAUACUCUCCUAGCUUUUAUGGGGAAUUGUAUUAGUUUCUUAUAAAAUUUUGAAUGAUGAUUUUGAUUGGCAUAAAAUUCUUAUUGACAUUUAAAAAAUAUAAUCCCACCAAACAUGAAUUCCACAAUUUCUGAUUUUAAAAAAGGCACUUAAAGAUUCCUCAUACAAGAUGAGUUGCUUCUCUCCUACUGCUUUCAAAAGUCUCUCUUUUCCUUGGCUUUCAAUAGUUUGAUUAGAAUAUGUCUCAGUGUGGUUUUCUUUGAGGUAAUAUUACCUGGCAUUUGUUGAACUAAAGAUGUAGAUUCAUGUUUUUCAUCAAAUAUGGAGAGGUUCUGGUCAUUAUUCUUCAUAUGUUGUUUUUAUUCCACAGGUUACAUUGUUUACUUUUCUUCAUUCUUUUUAGUCUGCUUUUCAAACUGAAUAAUUUUAAUUGAUGUAUAUUAUGAUUGACUGAUUCUUUCUUCUGCUUACUCAAGACUUUUUUUUAAAGCUUCCAAUGAAUGUUACUUUUGGCUGUUAUAGCUUUUAGUUCAAGAAAAUUUAAUUUUUCCACUUAUAAUUUCUCUAUCCUUUCAAAUACUACCAUUUCUACAAUACAUAUUUUUCCUAAUUCCCUUUAGUUCUUUGUCUAUGUUUCCAUUAGCACUUUUUGAACAUUUGAGGCAGUUUAUUUGAAGUAUUUGCUAAUAAUUCCAAUGUCUGUGAUUCCUCAGAGAUUUUCUUUUUGGUCAAUAUUUUUUUCUUAAGAAUGAAUAUUUUUACAUUUUUUUUAGUAUGGCUUGUGACUUUUUGUCCAAGGCUAAAUAUUUGAAUAAUAUUCAAUUAAAACUCUGAAAAAAUUUUUUUCUCUUUUUCCAGAACUUGCUAUUUUUGGUUGAGAAAGAUUCAGUUAUCUACUUGUUCCAAACUGUUUUAGAAACAUCAAAUUGCAUUUGAUGUCAUAUAUGGUCUUUGAAGUUCCAGUGCCUAGAGCUGUGUCCAUCUACUAUUUUGAUAGAAAUUUCCUUGACUUCUAAAGACAAUAAACAAACAAUAUUUCUCCCAGUUUUUGAAGAUUGCUUUUUUGCUUGAUUUUUUUUUCCUUUUUUUUUUAUGUUGUCUACAACUCUGAUUUAGCCUUCACUUCCUGCUUAUAGUGCCCAAAUUUUCUGUUGAACACAAAGGGGACUCUUACCAUUCAAUUAUUUUUCUGGUAGAGAUCAAGAAGAUGUGAAAGCUUAUGUUAUUCUCAAGUCUUUAUUGAUCCUGUUCUCUGUUCUGGACAUGUGUGUGGCUUUGUGAGCACUUUUGAAUGCUAUACUUUACUUUCCUAUAGAAGUCUCUUUCUCCAGCUUCUCCUUCUAGGCUUUAGGCAGUUUAUCUUAUCACCUCUUUGAUAAGAUAAAGAGUUGCAUCUUUAGAUUUUGUCUCAUGCAUCUUUAUUUUUUUUAUUUUUUUUGUCAAUUUAUUUUUUAUUAUUAUUAGUUGUUCAAAACAUUACAAAGCUCUUGACAUAUCAUAUUUCAUGUAUCUUUAGAUUUGUGUUUGCCUUACAAUAUUUUGAGGUGUAUUCCUUAUUGUUCCACCUUUAGAGAGUUCUGCUUUUUCUGAGAGUUCUGUUUUUGCAGAAAGUUCAUUCAACCUCUCUGUGUUUACUUCCUCAUGUAUACAAUAGAGAUAAUAAAAACACAAAGACAUAAUUAUUUAAGCUAAAUAAAUAAAAUGAAAAUUUUCAUAUCUCAGUUGCUUAAAACUAUGUUUUUACAUUCAUGCCACAUUUGUGGAAUAUUGUCAGAAAGGAGACCUACUUGUACUAGUAAGAAUCCAGGCUAUAGGUAGAGAUCUGUCUCCUCAAACAUUAGAGAAAAAUAUAUUACUCUGGCUAUUCGGAAUUCAGGUGAAACACAUCAUUUCCACUACACUGACCAAAUAAUGCUUCAUGGCCAUGCCUAAAUUCAAUACAUAGAGAAACCAAAUAAUACUAUAUAACAUGAAAGGAAAAAAGACAAUUAUAUAUAUAAAAUCCCAAUCACUAUCAUAGUGCCUGCUAGCAUAGGCAUGAAAAAUAAAUGAUUAAUAUUAGUUAAAUCAUUAGAUAAAUGCCUGGUACUUAGUAGUUGCUAUGUACAUAUUGCUAAGUACAUACACUUAGUGUUCAACAAUAAUUAUCAAUGAUCCUAUCAAUGAUCAUAAAUCUAUGGAAAGAUUGCUGUUCACAUAUUCACUCCAAACCCAUUUGAAAAAUAGUUAGUGUUCUUAAACAUAAUUUCAAUUGGUUUGCUAUUUUUCACAUCUAGUUCAAUACCUAGAAAUAAUUGACUAUUAGGAGUGAUAUCUGCUUAAAUAACUGAAAAAAUGCCAUUUUUAAAAUUGACAAUUUGCUAUUAUAAGAUAAAUUUAUAUGCAAGUAAUAAAUACAUUCUCCAUGGGAUUAAAUUAAAUCCCUGAAAAAUUAAAAACUUUGAACAGAAAUUUUUAAAAUAAGAAUUGAAAUAAAACAAAAUUUUAUAAUAGAAGCAUAAAUUAGUUAUAGGUAUUUUGGUUUCUAUAAUUCAUUUGUAUCACUUUGUUUUUUUCAGAAGCCUUGAAGUAAAUUCUCCUGUCUUCUAUCAUGUAAACAAAUAUCUUAUACAAUACUAUUAUUUCAGAAAUCUAAAGGAAUAUUUCAUCACCUUACCACUUUUGAACCAAACAACAUUAUAGUACCCCAUAUUUAUUAUAAGCUUACAUUUUGUAGUGGUCUUCUAAGAAGCACAUAAUAUCAAAAAAACAGUUUUGAACUAUUUUUUUUUGUUACAAAGUAGAGCAUUAUUAGAUCAUGUUAUGGAUAAAACAAUCUCUAUUCAUGGUUGGAAUGAAUGGGAAUUCUCUGAACUAAAAUUAAAUGUCUAUUUAUAAUGCAACCAAAUUACAUAGAAGUUUAGCAUACAGCCUAAAUCUCAAAAUAAUAUGACUGGAUACAAUAAUCAAGCAAAUUAAGGGUUUUUUUAUUUAAAAGGAUUUUUUCUUUAAAAUUGCAAAUACUAUGGGAUCCUUGAAGAGCAAGCCAAGAAUUGAAUUUUAUUCCUCAUUGGACCUGAAUCAUUUUUUCUAAUUAGCCUGCUAUAUUGGAGCUGUGACUCCAUAUGGACUAAAAAUAAAUGAAUAGUCUCUGCAUCAUCUUUUUCUUUGUGUUUUACUCCAAACCCUUUUCUCUAAAUAUUGUUUUAAAUUAUACCUUUCCAUGUUCAAAGAAAAGGAAGCAAACUUGAGAGCAUUUAAAAUUGUUUUUGAAUCUCAAUUUUCUAUAACUUUUCCAAUCUGGUUUCAAACUAAAAGCUGACUAACUGAGAUAGCUAUCAUCUUUACUCACUAAAAUCUGUAUUAAUUCCAAAUCUCCACAUUUGAGAGUUUUUCAAACUCCAAACCUUUGCAUGUCCUAGCUAAAUUCAUAGGAACACACUACAUUUAAGAGAUGGUGAUCAGCAAGCAAUAAUGAGUACCAAUAAAACAAAGUCCUAAAAGCCCAGCCAAUAACAAAAGAUGUUGAAUGUUUUAGUAAGUCAAUAAGAGCCAUCUACAUUACAAGUGUAUACUUUCUGAGAACUUUUUAAUUAGGACCACAUUAUUUUUUAAAUAAAUUUUUAAAAUCUAGUUAGAUGAAUACUACUGAUCUAAUUACUAAUAAAAUAAAAUGAAACAACAUUUAUUAGUAAUAAACACUAAAUAUAAUGGAUAAUUUAGGUGCUUUAUUCCUAUAGCUGAAAAAAAUAAGCAUGGAAAGUGUGAUCAAAUUACCUGAGGGUGCAAGACUUAGAAGUAGCAAAUUUGAAUGUGGAAGCUGCUAAAAAUAAUCUCUCACUUCAUAAGCAAUACUCCAAGUUCUGAACAUUCCCAUGACUAGAAAACCAAGGCACACAUUGAAGCAAGUUGAUAUAACAUUAAAAUUAUUUAUUUUUUUGAGUACUGGGGAUUGAACUCAGGGGCAGUCAACCACUGAUCCAUGUUCCCAGCCCUAUUUUUUAUACUUUAUUUAGAAACAGGGUCUCAUUGAAUUCCUAAGCAACUCACCAUGUUAAGGCUGACUUUGAACUUGCUAUCCCCCUGACUCAGCCUCCUAACCUGCUGGAAUUACAGGUAUCUGCCACCAUGCCCAGCAUAACAUUAAAAUUUAAAUAAGAAAAAAUGACCAAACAUGUCAAACAUUUCUUUAUUUAUGUCUUCAAGCAAUUAUUUUGAAUCAUUUGAAUCCUACAUAGAAACUAGAGGAUUAGAGAAAUUAACAACUAUUAAUAUUCAUUGGGUAUUAAUACUAUUGCCACACUUGUUAUCCACUUUCCUAAAGUAUCUUUAAUCCAUUAUAAAGCAAAUUGCAGAUGUGGUGAAAAUAAUCCCUAAAUAUUUCAGCAAGUAUUUUCUAGAAGCUAGGACAGCCUUCUACAAAAUGGCAAUAUUGUUACCAUACUUAAAACUUUCACUCUGAUACAAUAAUGUAAGAUUUUUAAAUUCUUAUAUUUGCUAGUAGGAAAAAGGGAUUACUGGAUAUAUUCUGGUAUACCCAUUAGUACUAUACUUAUGACUUUGGUAAAUUUUCUUUUGACUGGUAUAUUUUAUAUUACAGAUAUAUUUAUAAAAUAACAGAAGCUAACUUGUAGAUUUCUGUAUAUAUAUAUAUAUAUAUAUAUAUAUAUAUAUAUAUAUAUAUAUAUAAGCAUUCUGUUGUUGUGACAAAAUACCUUAGGUAAGCAACUUAUAAGGAGGAAAGAUUUAUAUGGGUUCACAUAUAAAUCUUUUAGAGGUUUCAGUUCAUAGUUGGUUGGCUCUGUUGUUUUGGGGCCUGUGGAUAGGCAGACAGUCAUGGAAGGGAGCAAGUGGUGGGGAAGCUUCUCAAGUCAUGACAGCCAGGAAACAAAAAGAGAGCAAGAGGAGGAGCCCAAGUUGCAAUAUGACCUUGAAAGACAUACCUACAAUGAUCUAACCUCCUUCCACCAGUCUCUACAUCUGAAAGCACCACAUUCCUCAAAGCACCACAGUUAGCAACCAAACCUUUAGCAUAUGGAACAUUGCGUGACAUAAAAGAUCCAAACCAUGACAGAUGCAAAUAAUUUCUGUUUUAAAAGAUAAGUCGAAAUAUGAUCAUUAAUUGCCCUAGUUCCUAUCUAAUCCAGCAAUAUUGUCCUAAUACUUUUUAAUUUGCCUGUAGAAACAUAAGUCUUAAUAUAAUAUUUAAAUAGACUUUAAAAGCUUACAUGUUGCCUUAUUAAUUGAUGACAUAUAUAAUAGUAUUUGAUGUUUAUAUUUAUGCAUGAUGUUUUAUAAUUCUCUGAAAAUUAGGCUUUUAUACUAAUUUUAUCAAAGCCAAAUUAUUCAAACUUCCCCAAGUAUCUCAAGUGUAUUCUUUGUACUUAUUUACUUAUUUAUUUGCUUUAUUGUUUCAACCCAGAAUCCAAUCAAACAUCCUGUACAGUAAUUAUUACAUAUGUCUCUUUUGUUUCUUUUAAUGUGAAAAUGGAUACCUUCCAUUUCACCCCUUUUUGAUUUUUAUAAUAUUGAAUUUUUCCUUUUGUUUUUAAAAAAUAAUGAAAAUUAAUUGUCUGAUAGACUGUUAUACCAUCUGGAUGUGUCUGAGUAUUUAGUCAUGAUUAAAGUAAUGUUAAACACUUUGAUAAUAAUACUACUAAUGAUAUUGUGCAUUGAUAUUCUAUCAGAUUCACAAAAUGACAAUUUUCCUGAGUUUUAAAGAUAAUGAUUAAGAUAAUUUCUGUAGGAUUCCUCUAGUGUAGAAAUCACAUUUUAUUGUGUAUCUGUUGGGUAUCAUUUUGAGAUUAUGUAAAUAUUCUGUUUCCCAAACUUUUAGUCAUCCAUUGAGCAUUUGAUGAGGAUUCCUGCAUGAGUUAAUUAUUACAUUGAGAUUCAUAAAACCAAAUCUUUAACAUGCCAGUGCAUAUGGGCAUUAUGAAUGGUUAAGGGAGUUUGGGAUUGGGAUCAAGAGAUGCAUGCAUGGAUUUGCAUACAUAGAUUAUGCUUCUAUGUAUUUGAUUAGAAUUCUCUUGAUUAGAAAACUAUUAGAUAUUUUCUUGAUUAGAAAACCAGCUUUAAAAAUAUAAAACAAGUAAACAAAUAUCAAAUUAACUUACCUUUAAAACUGCUAUUAAAUAUGUUGCUCAAGUUCACAGAAGUUAAGCUAUAAGUAUCUUUAUAAGUUUUAAAAAAGUAUCAUUAUCAGGAAUUUACAAUGGAGCCACAUGUAUCUUCUUGAACCUAAAUUUUCCAAUAUGUUUAACUAGGAAUAACAAUACCUACUUCAUAGAUUCAGAGAUGAAAAUUUUGCAUAGAACUACUUUGAGGAUCAAUGGAGAUAACAUGUAAAAUAGGAUAUUAUUUCCUGGCAGGUAAUAAUAAUUUCAAAAUAUCAGGAUUUUGAGGUUUUGUUUUGUUUUGUUUUGUUUUGUUUUGGAUUACAUUUCCUACCAAUAAUGUGAAUAUUUCCUUUUUCCUUCUUCUUCUUAAUGACUAAUAUAAAACAAAGAAAUAGAUGAAAUAAGAUCUAAGCUACUUUCAAAUAUUUCCCCUUCAUAUAUGAAAUUUCAACCAAGGAACCUGCUUUCUAUUGUACAUCCAUUUUCCUACCUUAAUUCCCUCUUCAUUGUUCUAAACAGUACCAUAUAAAAUCCUUGAAAAAUGUGGCUUCCAUUGCUAAAAAUCUCAACUUCAACAAGGUUUGGCAAUAGCGACAUUAUUCUACAUAUAUGGCAACACAUUCUAUGCUGUCAUAAAGUGAACAGCUACAAAUGAUAAGCUCUUCAGUGGAGGUCAGUAGUGGAAAGAAAUGUUUAACAGAGUAAUAAUUCCAGGGUAAUAUAUGGAAAAAAAGAAUAAAAUAACAACCACUAAAACAUUUCAUGUGUUUAUAAAAAAGUGUUUUUUCUUACAAGACUAGGAAAAAAAAUUUUGUUGACUUCUAUUUAUCUUAAAAAUCAGAAGUAUAAGUUUGCUUUAUGUACUGGACAAGUAAAUGUGGUUACAUAUUACAUGCACACAUGUGUGUGAUAGUGUGUACCCAUGUAUGGGUAUUGGAAGAAAGCCGUGUAACACCUUUAUCUAAGGCUCUGGUUUCAAAUUUAGACAAACCUUGGAAAUUUGAAUCAUCCCUAUCUAGAGCACUAUGGCUGGGAAAAGCAUCAUUUUGCAUAAAAUGCUUCAACUGCAUGUUCCCUUUUGUUUAAAUGUUGAGUUAGAAUGAAAGAAGUCAUGGAAAUAGUUUAGGAACUUUAACAAUUCCUCAUUGACACAUACAAAGGCUUGCUUUUAAAACAACCCAUCCAGUAUAAUCUUUGCACCACUUAGAGCACAACUAUAAAGAUUGUUCAUUUGGAAAGGAUAAAGGGAAUGUGGUGAUGUCUCUUUGUAAAUGAUUUAGCUCUUGUACUACUUGCUUUUUACUUUGAACUAUUUCUAUAUCAAAGUCAUGUCUAGUAAUGAAAGAGCUUUUGGGGGAUUUCUGAGUGACAGGUAGCAUUACUAAUAAAUUGCCUCAGAAUGUAAAAAUAUGACCCUGCAGGUAGUUCAACCACAUUGUUUGCAAACUGUGACUAAUAUAAAAUUCCAGCUUUUUUUUUCUUUCUUUUUUUUUUUUUUGCUAAGCACUCACCAUGGAACAAUACAGUUCCACUUUUUAGUGCUUCAGUGCUGAUUGUGUAGGUCACAAUUAGAGAUUCAGCUGGAGAUGAAUGGAGAAGAGUGUACUGUGCAAUUGGCUGUAACCGAUCUGACCCUGCUUGAUCCUCACUCCUUAAAAACCUGUGGCCUCCUGUAGCCACAUACAUGAUCGAGUCUGUGGCUAGCACUGCUUCCCACCAACCUUUUCAUCAGAGGCUUUUCCAGACUUUACUUUGCUCUGUGGCCUUAUCAAGGAGUUCAUUCUGAGCUGUCAUAAAUAGCAUCAAAGUUUGCCAGCACAGUAAGAAAAGUCACUUUGGGUAUCUUAGGAAAGAAGGCAAGACCUGUUGUAGAACUUUGUACAAAUCAGGUUUUUAAAAUAAAUGGAGAAUUGAAUUAGGAGAGAUGACAAAAGAAUGGAAUAAUAGGGGGAGAGAUACAAAGUAACUGUUUUAUAGACUCUAUUAUAUUACAAGGAUACAAUUUCACAAGUUUUAUUUAAUCCAUCAAGAUCUAGUUUACACAUGGUCCAUGACCUCUUGUUGAAAGAAGAAAACAAACAAGAAUCUGAAAUACUAUGUCACAAAUACUAUCCAGCUGUUUCAUGUUGACAUGAGAAAAAAAAAUAACAUCAGAAAAUUUCUCCAUGUAUAUAAGGUUAAACUUAGGAGUUUUCAAUGGAAUUUGUAUAUACCUUUUGAAUUUAGAAAAUUCAGUAAAUUUGAGCUAACUCCACUUUAUCCCAAUUGUUUUGUUAUAAUCAUAGAAUACAACAAUAUAUCAUCAUAUCCAAACGUCUAUAUUUUAAGAAAUGAAUGCAGUUAUAUUAGUAGUCUAUUUAUUUUUCAAAUAGGUUUAAUAUAAAAGACUGAUUUGGUUGACAUUUGGAAACACAGUAAUGGAAGUAACAGGACAUGAAUCAAUAACACAUAGUAAUUAGGAAGUAAAAUAGACUCAGCAUUCUGGCAUCCCUAAGAGAUAAAUUAUUCUGACAAUAAAUGUCCUAUUACAUCUCCCUCAAGUUUGUGCUCCAAUGACUGUGUUUGCUACUUUAUCCCUUGAACAUAGCUGUUAAAAUAGAAAUUCAUAAUCACAACCAUUUUGCAGCAUUAUAAAAAAUACCAAGUAGACUAUAACCAACAUUUUUUCUGUUCCAGAAAUUGAAUAUUUCAUGUUGAGAGGAGACUACUGUCCUCUCACUCUGGAUGUUUCUGAGUAAUGUUUAGCUCUCUCCUUCUCUCUCCUAAACACACACCCACACAGAGGCACACAAACACACACCAUAGAAACAUUUGUGAGUACACUGACUUACCACAAGGUUAUAUUACUUUAUUUUAAACCUUCAGAUUUGGGGUCAAUGAAAAGUUACAACCCCUCAAGAAAAACUGGGAGAAGUUCUGUCUCAUAGUUGCUACUGUGUCAGUAUAAAGCUAGCCUCACAGGUGCAGACAUCCUGGGAAAAUAGUCAAAAGUCUUUUAAGAGGCCAAGUGUGGAGAAACACAAAUACUUUUGAAUGCUCUAAAGGCUCAGGGUUAACUACUCCCCCAAGCAAUUCACCGUUUCCGUGUUAAUUCAGUUUGUAGAAACAUAUAAUUAGAAUCUCUAAUACCUGUAUUUUUCUUUUCUUUAUGAGAAAAACAUGUGGUGGUGCACAGAACAAUGAAUACACUGGGAAGGGAACCUUGGUGGGUGACUUUACAUUCUCUGCUGAAAGGACACAACUACUACAUUUCCAAUCAGAAACAAAGGAAAAUAACAAUUUAUUCCUUUAUUGGAAGUUAGCACCUCUCUUUCAAACUAAAAUAGGUGUUUCAUGUAGCAUAAGUAAUUUUGUUCUUUACAAGUGUUGAACUAAGUAGCCUGGGGAGUGUGCAAUUCUAGGCUGGAAAUUAAACCCAGGUUGCUCACUUAAUAGUAUAAUAUAUGACCAUGUGGUCAUGGGGCUGACAUUAGAAGAAUGCCUUUUAUCUCGAAAAUUAUAGAAGUACACUCUGAUGAACAACCACAACCACUUCUUAUAAAUGAAAAACUAUGUUGUGCAUGCUUUUAUAUGUAUCAGUUAUAUGCAUCAUAUGAAUGUACAAAAGGCAUAAAGUGUCAUGUGACUUUGUUUUAUUUAAUAGUAAAUAAUCUAUCAUAUAAGAAGAUAAAAUUAGUUUAUUGAUUCUUAUAUAUCCAUAAAAUAUUUAUAGUCUUGUAUUUUUCAUAUAACUUUGGCUUUAUCAGUGGAAAAACUGUGUUUAAAAUCAAUUAUGAUAUAAAUAAUACUACUUCAUAUAUGAUCUGUAUUAAUCAUUUUUUCCAAACAGAAGAAAAUGAGAACUUUUGAGAAAAGAUUAAGUAAAAUUUACAUUUGCAUUCUUUUUAGUAAAAUUAGUUCUCCUGUACUUUAUACCUCACAAAAGAUGGACCUUGGAAGCCACAGUACAACUCUAGAAAAUGAAGUUUUUGUAUAAUUUAUAUAGGUUCUAUCUAAAUUAAUUUGUUUCUAGACUAUUGGUCCUGCUAAUCAUGAACCAUAACCUUAUUUGGUGAGUAAGAAAAACUUCUCAUUUACUUCCUAAUUAUUAAUUUCUCAUGAUUGAGAAAACACAUUUGCUUUAUUCUUCUGAUUUGGAGACUAUUAAAUUAGACACAAAUAAAUUUGAUUUUUUUAAUUCAAGAGGAAUUAAAAUAAUAGGCAUCUUCUUUUCAUGGAUGAUUAAUUGAGUUUCAGGGAAGAUAACAAUUUCCAAACAUCAAAUCCCAAGUGAGUAUUGAGUUAAAUGUUAAUAAUGUCAAAGUUUCUUUUGCUCUCAAAUUUUUAUUUGAGUAGUUCUAAGAUGUCAAGAAAAUAACACAGGUUAGAUAUAAAAAGUGCCAUUGAGGUUUUAUGUAGUAUGGUAGGCCCGAUUUGAUGGAUGUUAGAGUGAUGCAGAAGCAAAAUGGAAGACUGACUACUAUGUAACUGUGAUUUUAAAGACUUCAGUGAGGAACUGAUAAAAUUUGAAAUGUGUGAUACCUCAGAAUUAAGAGAAAAGCAAUUUUCUAUGAAGUGGUGAGAAAUGUCACACACAAAGGCAUUGUCAGUCAGGGAAAAAAGGUGAAAAGAAAGCACCAGAUUCAUUUUUUUUUCUUUUUUUUCUAAUUUUUUAUUAUUGGCUGUUCAAAACAUUACAUAGUUCUUGAUAUAUCAUAUUUCACACUUUGAUUCAAGUGGGUUAUGAGUUCCCAUUUUACCCCAUAUACAGAUUGCAGAAUUACAUCAGUUACACAUCCAUUGAUUUACAUAUUGCCAUACUAGUGUCUGUUGUGUUCUGCUGCCUUUCCUAUCCUCUACUAUCCCCCCUCCCCUCCCCUCCCCUCCCCUCUUCUCUCUCUGCCCCCUCUACUGACAUUCAUUUGUCCCCCUUGUAUUAUUUUUCCCUUUCCCCUCACUUCCUCUUGUAUGUACUUUUGUAUAACUCUGAGGGUCUCCUUCCAUUUCCAUGCAAUUUCCCUUCUCUCUCCCUUUCCCUCCCACCUCUCAUCCCUGUUUAAUAUUAAUCUUGUUCUCAUGCUCUUCGACCCUACUCUGUUCUUAGUUACUCUCCUUAUAUCAAAGAAGACAUUUGGCAUUUGUUUUUUAGGGAUUGGCUAGCUUCACUUAGCAUAAUCUGCUCUAAUGCCAUCCAUUUCCCUGUAAAUUCUAUGAUUUUGUCAUUUUUUAAUGCAGAGUAAUACUCCAUUGUGUAUAAAUGCCACAUUUUUUUUAUCCAUUCAUCUAUUGAAGGGCAUCUAGGUUGGUUCCACAGUCUUGCUAUUGUGAAUUGUGCUGCUAUGAACAUCGAUGUAGCAGUGUCCCUGUAGCAUGCUCUUUUUAGGUCUUUAGGGAAUAGACCGAGAAGGGGAAUAGCUGGGUCAAAUGGUGGCUCCAUUCCCAGCUUUCCAAGAAAUCUCCAUACUGCUUUCCAAAUUGGCUGCACCAAUUUGCAGUCCCACCAGCAAUGUACAAGUGUACCCUUUUCCCCACAUCCUCGCCAGCACUUGUUGUUGUUUGACUUCAUAAUGGCUGCCAAUCUAACUGGAGUGAGAUGGUAUCUUAGGGUGGUUUUGAUUUGCAUUUCUCUGACAGCUAGAGAUGGUGAGCAUUUUUUCAUGUACUUGUUGAUUGAUUGUAUGUCCUCCUCUGAGAAGUGUCUGUUCAGGUCCUUGGCCCAUUUGUUGAUUGGGUUGUUUGUUCUCUUAUUGUCUAAUUUUUUGAGUUCUUUGUAUACUCUGGAUAUUAGGGCUCUAUCUGAAGUGUGAGGAGUAAAGAUUUGUUCCCAGGAUGUAGGCUCUCUAUUUACCUCUCUUAUUGUUUCUUUUGCUGAGAAAAAACUUUUUAGUUUGAGUAAGUCCCAUUUGUUGAUUCUAGUUAUUAACUUUUGUGCUAUGGGUGUCCUAUUGAGGAAUUUGGAGCCCGACCCCACAGUAUGUAGAUCGUAGCCAACUUUUUCUUCUAUCAGACGGCGUGUCUCUGAUUUGAUAUCAAGCUCCUUGAUCCAUUUUGAAUUNNNNNNNNNNNNNNNNNNNNNNNNNNNNNNNNNNNNNNNNNNNNNNNNNNNNNNNNNNNNNNNNNNNNNNNNNNNNNNNNNNNNNNNNNNNNNNNNNNNNNNNNNNNNNNNNNNNNNNNNNNNNNNNNNNNNNNNNNNNNNNNNNNNNNNNNNNNNNNNNNNNNNNNNNNNNNNNNNNNNNNNNNNNNNNNNNNNNNNNNNNNNNNNNNNNNNNNNNNNNNNNNNNNNNNNNNNNNNNNNNNNNNNNNNNNNNNNNNNNNNNNNNNNNNNNNNNNNNNNNNNNNNNNNNNNNNNNNNNNNNNNNNNNNNNNNNNNNNNNNNNNNNNNNNNNNNNNNNNNNNNNNNNNNNNNNNNNNNNNNNNNNNNNNNNNNNNNNNNNNNNNNNNNNNNNNNNNNNNNNNNNNNNNNNNNNNNNNNNNNNNNNNNNNNNNNNNNNNNNNNNNNNNNNNNNNNNNNNNNNNNNNNNNNNNNNNNNNNNNNNNNNNNNNNNNNNNNNNNNNNNNNNNNNNNNNNNNNNNNNNNNNNNNNNNNNNNNNNNNNNNNNNNNNNNNNNNNNNNNNNNNNNNNNNNNNNNNNNNNNNNNNNNNNNNNNNNNNNNNNNNNNNNNNNNNNNNNNNNNNNNNNNNNNNNNNNNNNNNNNNNNNNNNNNNNNNNNNNNNNNNNNNNNNNNNNNNNNNNNNNNNNNNNNNNNNNNNNNNNNNNNNNNNNNNNNNNNNNNNNNNNNNNNNNNNNNNNNNNNNNNNNNNNNNNNNNAAAAAAAAAAAAAAAAACCAUGGCCUAAUGCCCCUUUCCAAGGAAUUGCAUUCAAUCUAAUAUGUUGAUUUAGAUAUAAGGAAAUUAAUAUCCACAGCAGUUUGGAAUUUUCAAAACCAGUUGCCUAGAGAUUAUUGUCUGAAUCCUCUCUACCAUGCCACGUUAAAUGUUAGAAGCUACCUGUGCCUAUGCAUAUAAAAAAAAAUCAAAAGGGAAUAAAUUCAUGGUGAUUACUGGUGACAAAGUUUCCAAAGAAAUAUUCAGAAUUUUAAAAGAUAAGAAACUCUCAAUACAUGUUUUUUGAGCAGUGGACUAAUCCUUUCCACAUUUUUACCUUUGUCUAUACAUAACAAUUUUAAUCAGAAUAUGACAACAUAAGUAACAAACUCAAUGAAGUAAAUUCUUAUUAUUUUAUAUUGUAAGUACAUAGAAUUAGUUUUGUAAAAUUUGGAAUUUCUCAUCUGGUGUUUUGACAUGCUUUUAAAAACUUUCAUUAUAAACCUGAAAUGUGCUGGGUGCUAUGGCACAUACUUGCAAUCCCAGAGACUCUAGAGGUUAAAGCAGGAGGAUCACAAGUUCAAAGCCAGCUUCAGCAACUUAGCAAGGCCCUAAACAACUCACUGAGACCCCAUCUCAGUGGCACAGUGGCUCAGUGCCCCUGAAUUAAAUCCCCAGCACCAAAAAAAAAAACAAAAAAACAAACAAAAAAAAAACAAAAACAAAAAAACAAUAAAAAGCCCACCCUGAAAUGUAAAAUUUCAAAAUUUUGAAAAAUCUCAAUAAUAACUAUCACAUUUUCAAACUUUCUUAGCAAAAUAUACUAUAUUAUAUUAUACAUAUUAUGCUUCCAUUUAUACAACCAUUUAGUAUAGAACAAAAACAGAUCUGUUUAACUAAUGUUGGACAAUGAUACAAGGGCAUCAGAAUUCUGUGUGCCAUAUGCAAAUUAUUUAUUAUCUACUAAAUCUUGCAAGAAUUUAUGCUUGCUACAAAGCUGAUGAUGUAAAUAUUUUCUUGAUAAGAAAAUUGAGUAUUACAGUAUGGGUCCUAGAUAAGAUUUUUAAGUCAAGAAAGCAAAAUAAAGAUUAAUACAGAUAGAAAAGAAAAAAAUAUAUUAUUUUUUCUUCAUUUCUCCUUAUAUAUCCACCCUUUAACUAGAAGUUGUUUUCCAGCUACACAUAUUACAAUCUUUGCAAGUUAGGUUAAUGAAAGUCAAUUGGUUGAUAAAUGUUUCACUUAUUUGCCUGAAACAUUUUAUUUCACCUUGGUUCUUGAAUGAUAGUAGUUCUGGUUAUUGAAUUAGAAGUUGUAGAGUGAUUUACUUUCAAUAUUUUGAAGAUAUCACAGUGCCUCUGGCUUCUCCUUUUGGUGCUGAGAUAUUGACCUAUUGUUAUGCUAUUACUCUAUUAUUUUUGCCACUUCUAAAAUUUUUUCUUUGUCCCUGAGGUUUCAUUAUCUUUUAUACUACUAAAACACUAUAAUUACUAUACUAGAACUAUUAUAUAUUACUAUAAUAUAUUUUGCUCGGAAUUUGUUUUCAUUUACCAUUUUAGUGAUUUCUUGAUCUUUAUUCAGAAUAAAAAGCUGGUCAUCUUUCAUUUUUCUGUAAAAUCAUAUUCAUAAUUUCAUAGCUUACAAUUAUUUUCCAAAAUUCAUAAUUAUAUUCAAUUUUAUUUUCAAAUAUUGUCUUUGACUAUGCUGCUAAUCUUUUUACUUUGGAAUUUCAUUGCCUUAUUUCAGCCUUCUUCAAAGCAUCUUCUGUGCAGAAACAUAUAGUAUUUGAUAUGUGUGAUUAUUUCUUUUUGUGAAUUGUCUCAUGAAUAUUGUCUGAAUUUUGUCUUUUAAACUUGAUUCCACUUCAAUGCACUGAAUUUUUCACUUCAGUUACUUUUUUUUUUAUUUAUAAAACUUCCAUUAGAUUCCUUUUAAAGUCUUCACAGACAUUUUACAUAUUUGAUCCUCACUCAGAUUAAAGAAUUUUUAAUCUUCCUGAAAUAUUUAAGGCAUGCUUACUUAAAUUAUUUUACUAUUUAUACAAUAUUGGAUGUAUAAGUAUAUUUUUGCUAGUUUUCACUCAUGGUAUUUUUUUUAAGAUUUUUUAAUUUGUAUCUGUAUAUGAGUAUUCUGAAUUGAAGUUAAAGUUUUGUAAUGUAGAUUUUGCAUUUACCUCUAUUAGUUGUUGGGAAUCCUGCAAGUCAUAGAAAGUUGAGGAUCAAAUGUUCAUGAGGACCAUAUUAUGGUGAUAAAUUCUCAAAGGACAAUUGUUCCUCUUUACACAACACCAGUGACAUAAAGAAGUUUAUUUACUAUCCUGUAUGCUAUGGGUUUAUUGCAGGUGUAAUCCUUUGGGAACCCAGCUUUAUAGGGCAAUCUCCUAUCAUACCACAAGGCUUUAUCACAUUUCUUCUAUACCCCUGAAAAGCCAUCAAAAUGGAAAAUUGAAAGCCCCUGGGUUUGGUGCCUCAACAGAGGGUAGAAACUGGUUGUUGAGCACACCUAAUUCCUAGGGUCUCACUUUAACUAUUUUUAACCUGUAUGGAUUCUUUAAUUUAUUUCCACUUUAGAAGGGCAUUGUAAAAGAUAUUUGUUAAAUGUUAAGUAGCUAUAUUAAUACUUUCAUUGGAAGACCCAUUUGUAAUUUUGUCUAAUUGCUAACAAUGAAAGUUUUGUAUAUACUAUUUAUAAAACUCCAAUUACAUAUGCCUCCUUAUGUUCUUAUACAUGAACAUUGCUUUUUUAUAUCUCCAAGACAUAAAAUUUAGGUUUUAAAAAGUUAAUUUGUUGUUUUAAUCAGCCAUCAACUAUGGGUGCUUUGUUGAAAAUGAUGCAAAAGGUAAAUUAAUUUUUAAAUAUAGUUCAUUUAUGAAAUAAGCCUCUAUAAUUCCACAGAAAACUGGUUUCCUAUGAAUUAUAUCUUACACAUAGCACUCUAAUUUUAUCUUAUCUAUUCUUUGAAUGUGCAAAAUGUUAUAACCUAUUGACUGACAUGAAAAUAUUUCUUGACAAUGUAUAAAUUCCCAAUUUUCCAAAUCACAUAGUAUAAUCACAUGGAAUUGGUUGAAUUAACAGUCUAUAAGCACUUAGGAAUUAAAAAUGCUGCAACUGUCAAGUAACAAAAUACCUGACCAAUAGUAGUUGCACAUAUAAUGUCAUUUAUUAUAUAUAGAAAAAGAUAUAUACAGAGAAUAUUUCAUGAAUGACCCAGUAAUUAAUUAAUAGUACAAGGAUACUUACUGUUAGUAUAUUUGUCCUAAUCCUUUCUGCAUCUUGGGAUAAAUUGUUCCAUAGCUAAAAAUCCCUUUUGCAAGGCAGAAAAAAAUGGGAAAGGAGUAACACUAGUCAGCAAUUUCUUUGUGCCUAUUUCUUCUUGGCAAAGUAUCUUUGAACAAGAAUCCAGUGAAAUUUUCCUUUGGUUAUUUUGGCCAGCACUGGGCCACGUGACUAUUUCUGGUUUAAGAGAGAGAAGAGGAAUGAGAUCUUCUGGGAAUGGACAAGGGAGAAGGAAGUUGAGACUAGACAGUGGGAAACAAAUGAAAGGAAUCUAUAAUAGCACUGCCAUCAGUUAUUCAAGAGCCAUACUUGUUUUACCCAGAAGAUACCACCUCUUCUGCAAAGGAGAACUCUAACAGCUCAUCCCUAUAUCCAAUAUGACUCCUUUCCUAAGAAAUUUAGAUGAUGUGGGAGCUGGAGUUGUGGCUCAGUGGUAUAGCGCUUGCCUACGCGUGAAGCACUGGGUUCAAUCCUCAGCACCACAUAAAAGUAAAAUAAAGAUAUUAUGUUCACCUACAACUAAAAAAUAAAUAUUUAAAAAAGAAUUUAGAUGAUAUGCAUUAUGCCCUGGCAGCUUAGCUGUGAUAAUCACCACCUAGAAAUACAGGGUUAAAACAGAAAAUACUCACCUUUAAUGCAUACAAUAUACACUUUUGGAGAAGAAAUACUAGAAGAAAAAUUCUAGUGUAACUUAAUUUUUCAUUUUAAAAUAUACUAAUAACACAUAUCUUAUCUGCUAGAUGGUAAUGAGAGGAAAUCUUGGUAUUGAAGUAAGUUUCCAGAGAGCCAGUCUUUCUCUUCUUGCUUCUGACCAUACAUUUUCACUUCUGUCUCUGAGAGAGGAAUUUCCUCUUCUUUUCCUUCCCAUACACACUGGAAUUAGAGAGUGGGGCAGAUGCUCCUCUUGAAAGAAUCACUGUUUUAGCAUGUUUCUUCCCAUAGUUGCAAGCUUGGAGAUGCAGGAAUUUCCACAGGUAUUUUCUACCCAAAUUUUGUUUUUUUUGUUGCUAGUAUUUUCCCCUCAGAUACUAGUAUUCUUGAGUUUAUUUGCUUUGGGUCAAUUUCAUACUCCUAUAUCUAUGGCCAAAAUAAGUUGCUUAGACCUAGUAUCUACUACUGUGCCUUUGGUAGGUUUCUCCUGAUGAAAGGUGUUGAGGAUGGUCUGAGGCCCCAGUUGCCUCCUAAUAAGGUUGAUGCUGCCUUGUUUGCAGCUUCAACUUGGCGGAUACAUUGUAAAUGUUUUCAUUGUUACUGAAACUCAGGGAAAUUAGAUGUGUAGAAGUGUAGCUAGUAAAAGUGAAACAAGGAAAGAGAAGACAUAUAAUUUAAUUAGGUAUCUUUGAUUGGAAAUGAACAAAACAAAGCAAACUGAAGUUGACUUUUCCAACCUAGCCAAGUUUCAAAUUAAGAAGGUGGACUCUCAGUUAGCCAGGAUUGUAAACCACAAGCAGAGCCAUGUUUUCUUUUCUCUGUGCUUUGUACCUAGCUUAUUUUGAGUCUAACUUCAUUAGUCUCUCUUAACUGUUUCCUCUCAGGAAGCUUCCAAAGUAACAAACUCAGGACAGCAUCCUGACUUUUUAACGUGUCAUUCACCAACAUCCAACCUCUAUUAGCCCAUUGUUUACAUCUCAAAAUAAUGUCUCACCAAAUCUUAACAAGGAUCUCCAAAAGGCGGGACUAGUUGUUCCCUCCCUUCAUCCUGUGGUCAAGCAGUACUACAUGUAGAGGUCCUUGUAUCAAUCCAAAUCUGUUGCUCUGUUCAGAAUACACAGUGGCAUUUACAGAGGUCAUGGGGAUCUGAUAUGUCUGAAUGUCAAGUUAAAUGUGAUUAAAUGACCUUAAGCUCUACAUAUGCUGAGUCAAGUAAAUAGUAGCCCUUCAAGAAGAAAACAGACAGGAAACAACAGAAAAGUUAGAUAGUGUUCUUAUAAAUUAAAUUUACAACCAGGACUAUUUUGUAUUUCUCUUAGCAAAGGAGUUAAUGCUCCUUUGGAAUUCAUUCAGUAAUUGUUCAUUGGAAUUCAUUCAGUAAUUGUUUCUCAGCUGUUUUAAUGAUAAUAAUUAUUAAAUUUUUUUCACCAGUUUUUUUUUUUUCAUUUAGCAUAAUAUUUUAAAAAGUACCAAUAAAAAUAUAUCUUGUACUACCAGGUGUACAAGAGAAUUCCUACCAGUACGGCAACGGCAUUGGAAAGUACCAUAAACUUCUCAAUAAAGCAUUCAAGAUAACUGGUAGUUAUGCUUGGCUUAUGAAUAUAAACUAUCUCAGAAACAUAAUCCUUUUUAUUUUUCAUUUAUUUACUUUUUAUUUUGUGCAGAGGAUAGUUGUGACUAUAUGUAAAAACAAUCAUGACAAACUGAGUUUAACAAGUCAAAAUAUAGAAAUAAGAUUGACAGAAAAAGGUACAAAAUUAGUUGUAGUUUCCUUUCAAUCUCAGUUUGCAUAGGCACAGUCCAGUUAUAUAAAUUUUGAGUGCCAAUGAAUGUAUUUUAAAUAUUUUGCGGGGUAUAGUAUAUAUCCUCCCCCCCUCAGUUUUAAAAGCUUUUACAUACCUAUAUUUCAGGUUCUGUUUAAAGCAUAAAUAUUCCUUCAUCCUGAUCAUAUAUAAGUUAAGAUUAUUCUUAACAUGGUUAUUCUUAUAUGCAGCAAGAAAGUAGGGGAAAUUCAUUUUCAUUAACUAAACAAUGUGUAAUGCACAGAAGAGUAUGCAUAACCUUAUGUUAUACAUAGGGGGGGUGUCUCCAAUCAGCAUUCAGCAUGUAUGUUUAGGAUCUUUGUACAGUUUUAUUAAAUUUGACAUAUUAAUGUUGCUAAAGCUUCAGAGAUUUAUGAAUUUUUUCCCUACCAGCCUGGGCUAGACUACUCAGAAGCCAGGUGUGUACCAUUGAGUUACAAAAUUACAUACUUGAAAAUCAAAAGGGGGAAAUGACACCAUAAAAGCUACACAGUCGAAAAAGCCAAAUGCACUCUCAGGGUGCAUCAUUACAUACUUCAGACUCACAAAAUAGGCCUUCUUCCUGUAAACAUUGGGUAGAAAAAUCAGAGAGUAUAUCACAUUGACACUUGGGGAGAGGUACAGGGAGAUUAGAUUCACUCUAGCAAUUUUCUACAAGAGUGGAACAACUCCAAUAUAUCUAGAAGGUCAAAGUCAAAAUAAACUUUGGGUAUACUUCUUCUAAUCAGGAAAACUCCUUCAAUAUAUUUUCCUUUGAUUGAUUUUGUGUUAGACAAGCAUAGAAAGAAGUUCUGUUCGCAGAACUCCAAAUAUUUUAAAUCCUGGCCACAGAGAAGAAAUGGGUCCCUUCCUCUUAUGUCUUCCCCCUCAUAAUGUCUCCUUUUUGUAACUUGUUCCUUUGUAAUUAUAAAGGGCAGAUUUUGACUUUGAUACUCAAAUUGCUACAUGUGAUCAUUACAGUUAAGGAAGCAUCCCAAUUAGCUUUCACACUUUUAUUUUCCUAAUCAUACUAAUGAAGCUUUGUUUCGGCCCGGCCCUUGGGAACAGGUAAGGAAAAUGGAAGUUUUUCUAGAAUCAUACAACACUUCAGAGGAAGUGCUCCUUAGUUUAUCAGAAACUAAAGGCUUCUUAGAUAUUAGAACUCCUCUAAUAUUCUAUAAGCUACUGGAAACUUAUUUAUGUUUCUAUUAUUUAUAUUUUUAUUCCUAGGACCUUGUACAGUUUCAUAAUAACAGAAAAUAUUGGAUACAUGAAAGUAUAAUCAUUUUUCUUUUCUAUUGAAAGUUGAAUAAAGAAUUACUGCAAAUUCUGAUGAUAGUAACAGCCUAGUUGUCUGGAAAUACAGAAAGUGUAUAAAAUUAAGAUAUUAUAAAUUAAAAACAAUUCUAGAAUCAUUCAAUAAUGGUUUUAAGUGAAAAGAAUUCUCAUGCAGUUCCUAAGCUAAAGCAAAUGUGCUUUAAAACAGUACAGAUUCAAGAGGAAUUACCCUAUAAUUCCUUUAGUCUUCAAAAAGCAUACAAUAAUUUCCAUUCCUCUUGAAAGAGAAGUAUAGAAGCAAUGAGGUUAUGGUUACUUAACUACCAACUUCCCUGAAAACAUCUAAAUCCAGGACAGCUUAAGAGCCAGGUAAAUAUUUUGGAAAAGCUUUUUAAGCUCAGAUUUCUUACUUGAGUUAAGAUCCUACCUGCCAACUAACAGACUUUUCCAGAGACACUGAGAUUCAAAUGUUUUGAGAUCAGGAAAAGUCUGUUCAUUGUUUCUCCUUUUUUUUUUUUUCCUCUUUCUUCCCCCAGAGUACAAGUAUUUCUCCAUCACAAACUACUUUGUUUUUAAUGUGAGUUCUAUCUUGUAUAUGUAUUUAGCAUGAUUCCUUUAAAUAGGUUAUUACCUUUUGUGCACAGGUGGUAAACUUAUCUCCCAUGUUUUUUAUAUACCAGCCUGGAAUGGGAAGCCCUGAAGAGUAACUUCUAAUGGUAUCAUUAAAAUGAUUGUAAACAUGCCUUUUGUGGCAGAUGCGAGCCUUCUUUAUGUUGAUAUAUAUUCAAAUUGUUUGGUAAGAUCAAAGAAAUGUAGAGUUUUAAAAUGUCAAACAUGUCCCUGUUCUCAACAGUUUCUGUUUUUAAAUAACUCUGUUUCUUUAGAAGUCAGGACAGCUAUAAAAGAGCCAGACUAUGGAUCAGAUUCAAAGUUGAAACUCAUUUUAUCUGAUUUGAACUAGAGCAGAACUGUCUAUAUGUGUGUCAUUUAUCAAAUGUUUCCAAUAAAAAGAGAUUAAGCAAGAUAUAACAGUAAUGUAUUAAAAUAAAAUGUUAGGAAGCCAUGUUGUCUAUUAAUUAAUCAAAAUUACUGUUACAUUUUAUUCAAACAAAAUUAAAUAUUUGGUGGGUCAUUAAAUGUACUCCACCCUUCUCUUAACCUUGUCACCUCUCCAUCACCAUCUCUCUUCCCCUUAAUUAAUAGUUAACUUGUCAUGGUUGUCACACCAUGUGUUGUAAUUUCCAGAUCAUUUAAAAUUAAUUCUGGUUAGCCAGUUAAAUUUGAAGUUUUUCAAGCAAAAUUUUAUUUUAUUUUUUUUCCAAUGGCAAAAUAAGAAGAUUAUUAUGACAGAAUUCUACUAAUAUUUGAUCUCAAUAGAAAAUUGUGACUUCAAUAUCUACAUUAUUUGUAUGGAAGUAGAAAAAAUAUAAAUGCAAUGUGUUUCAAAAUUAAUGUCAACAUACAUGAUAUACUUCAUAUAUAUCUGGUAUUUUGUUAAAAUUAUCCUAUUUAACCUCUAAUAAUAAACCAGCAUUCUUAGCUUUUCAAAUAUAUUUUCUAUUUUUUUUUCCAUUUGAGAUUUUGUUAUUUACAGUGUUCUACUUUAAAAUAGAUAUAUAUUUUAUAGUGUUAUUUCUGUAAAUAUUUAGGGAAAUGGUAUAUGGGGUAUAAUCCUCUUCUGUAAAGCUCACUGAAAAUUCUAUUAUUAUUCCUUACAUUUCUGGAUUCCAUUGAAACUAGUUUGAACCUCGUUAACUAUUUUAAAGUGAGGAAAGACAUAUUGUGUGUUCAUUUUCUGGCUGAUAAUGAUAAAAAUCUCUGUGAUCCUUCUUUAGUUUCUCUCUUUGCCUAUGGUAGUGACCACUGUAACCAAAAGACCUGAAAAGAACAAUUAGAGGAGAUUUGGGGCUUAUUUUGGGUCUCACAGUUUUAGAGUUUAUUUUGGGUCUCACAGUUCACAGAGUUCACAGUCCAUAGACAACUGAUUCCAUUGCUCUGGACUAGAGGUGAAGCAGAACAUCAUAGCAAAAGAGUGUGGUGGAGGAAAGUAGCUCAGGGCAUGCAGCAGGGAGCAGAGAGAGAACUUGAUCCAUUCUCCAGGGACAAAAUAUAUACCCCAAAGGCAGACCCCAAAUAACCCAACUCCUCCAGUCACACAUUACCUGCAUACAGUUACCACCCAGUUAAACCAUUCAAGUGGAUUAACACAGAGAUUAUGUCAAUGCUGUCAAUCAGUUUGCCUCUAAAAUUUGUUUCAUGGUCUCACACAUGUGCUUUUGGGGAGCACUCAAUAUCUAAACCAUAGCAACCACAAACCUCAAAGUGUCAAGGUACAAGAGGGACCUCCAAAGAGUGAUUCAAGCAGUCCCUGGAGAGAAGCAGGAACUCAACUCAGGAAGAGUAGGAUUCUUGGCUUACAUAAGGGGAAAGAAUUUCAGCAUGUGCCAGUCAGAUGUGUGAACAGGGAUUUAUUUGGGAAAGUAGAUACACAUUUAAGGGAGAAUGCCUGCAUUUCAAAAGAGAGAUGACUUUGGGGUUAAAGCAAGCAAAAAAGUAUACAUUCAAGAGAAAAUGUGGACCAUCUGCAGAAUGAGAAAUGCACUCGAUGUUGUGGGGUGGAUUACUGUCUCCUCUUUUAAAGGGAUUUUCUCAAGUGGUGGGUUUGGGAAGGAAUGUAGGAAUGAUGUCAAUCUAAUGAUCUCAUGACAGGCUUGGUGGUCAGUCAAUCUCUGAAUCCUUAGGCUAAUGUGGUCUUCAUUAUCUGAUCAAUGGAUAGCAUUGGGAAAUCCCCUAAGUUAUAGGUUUCUCUAAAUAUCUUAUCUCUUUUUACUUUAUUAAUGAGAGGUAUGCUAAUUAAUACAGCAUAGGUAGAUGUACAGAUUUUCUGAAAAUUUGGGAGUGACAGGUCUAGAAAAGCAGGCAGAACUUCUGAAUUAAAAUCUUAUUUCCUUGUCCUUCCUUUAUGUUUCUUUUCUACUUUUUUUAUUUCCUCUAUUGUACCUCAAAAGUAUCUGAAUUAUUAAUUAUUGAAUUGUUUUAGGGGAAACAGUGCUCUAAAAGUUGCCCAAAUAUAUCAUGAAUUUGGAAUGAAUCAGAAAUUAGCCUUUGUUACAUUGAGCAUUGAUGUGUGAGCAAUUUUGUUUCUUUCUAUUGCAGCCUUUCUUGGUCAAUAUAGAAUUUGGAAUCUGAAGUAAUAGGCUGUUUAGAAAACCUUAUAUAUUUGGCAUUGUCUGAGUGAUCCUGUGAUAGGUCAGCACAAAGAGGGCUGAUAUUACAGGCUUUUAAAAUAUGGAGAUUCAUCCUCUACAGUACAAAACCUUAGAGUAACAUAACAGGUCAUGCAUCUAACAAAUUUGUGAUUUUGAUUUGAAUCCUGAAUGUUAAUAUGUAUGAUUUGUUAUAAAGUAUAUUUGGCAAGGUAUAGUAUGAAAAAACAGGCUUAGAAUAGAACUGACCAGUUUGAAAGUAGAAGUAAAAGAGGUAGAGAGAUCCAAAUCCUGAGACUUUCUGUGUUGGAACAAAAUUGCUGCAUGACCUAACAAACGAUAAAUGUGAAAAAGUCUUAAAUAUUAAUGUGGAAUUAUAUGGUAAUAUUUUCCACAUUAAUUACAUUGAGUCAAAGUAAAGAAUAGGUUAAGAAUGUGGCUCUCAAGAAUUUGGUAUAAUGAUUUAAAAGAAAGAUCAGAUUAGGGGCUGGGGUUAUGGCUCAGCAGUAGAGCACUUGCCUAGCACGUGCAAGGCCCUGGGUUUGAUUCUCAGCACUACAUAAAAAUAAAUAAACAAAAUAAAGGUAUUGUGUCCAACUACAAUUAAAAAAUAUUUUUUUUUAAAAAAAGAGGGAUCAGAUUAAAUGUGGUUUUCCUGGGAAAUUCAAACAAUUUCUUUGCAACACUGUUACAUUGAGAGAAUGAAAGAGAAGAACUGAAUAAGAUAGAAUGAUCUGGGUAUGUUCCAUGAACAUGGAGAAGACUGAAAUUAAAGUUUACUGGGUACUUGACACUUGUACUGGCAAAAAAAAAAAAAAGGUAUGACUUUGACAUCCUUAAAAAAAAAAAAGAUUGUUAUAUACUUAAAGUGACUCUAAAUCCUCUAAGAUUCUGUGACUGGCAAAGGUCCUGGGAUUCCAAGUAGAGAAUAUUCCAUACCACCCACUUCUCGUAGGUACAACAAACAUAAUGAUAAAGAAAAAGCAAAAAGCAUUCUUAAAAAUGAAACCGGGAUAAAUAAAGAACAGUAGACUCUUACUUCUCCAAGGGAAGGAUCUAAAUUCCAUGGAUCAACAUUCUUCAGUCCUACUUCAGGACCUGCCAGAUUGCCUUCUCAUCAGAAGGAAAAUGUCUACAGACUAGGGUCUUCUGUGUGUUUCUCCUUCUUCCCCUCUUCAAAUGGUGUCUGUUCUAUUUCUGUUCAUUUUGAUGAAUGUUUAGAUUAUUCAUGUUUAUUGUGUGUCCGGGGGAGAAGGGGGUUUCUUGUUUUUUUCAGUUUAUAUGUCCCAAUAAAGAGUGGUGACAUAUGCAUGAGAUGCUCAUACAUUAGCCAGAGUUCUGGGUGAAACUGAAGCAUGGAAUGGAUUCAUCCUUUAGGUUGUUUUAAUUUAGAGAAUAGUUUGUUGAGUUUGUUUCUUUGUAGAUUAAUGAAAACAAAGGAUAUUUGGUGACAAGAGACAGUACCCAAAUUAUAUUUCCCCACUACUCCAUUACUCCUCUACAUUUGAUCGGAUUUGAUUUACAGGUCCAAAACUUGCUCUGUCAACAAAAGUGAGCAGAAGUGACACGUGUAACUUUCAGGUCAGGAGAGAUUGACUUAUAUUUGUCUCUGUAAUCGCUCUCUUUCCUUAACUUGGCAACGAAGGCCUGUGUUGAGAUGAUGCAGUCUCAGGGUGAAGCAGUCUGUAUCACUGAGUUACUGCACAGAGCAUAGUGGCCUAGAAUGUCAUGGGGCUCUGCAAGGCACAGUGUAUUUGUUUGAAUGAGAAAUAAACUUUUGUUGUGUUAAGCCUCUGAGAUUUUAUUGUUGUCACCACAUAGCCUUGCCUUUCUUGGCUCACAUACCACUGUUACCAUCUUUAAUGUAAAUUAUAGGAAAAAAAAUACUGCUUUUUGUGUUUAGACUGAAUAGCAUGUUUGACUAGUACUCUUAACAAAUAUGUUUGAUCAGUUUUAUUUUUACAUAUUAUUAUGAUCUCUCUUCUACUGUUUACAUGUUACUAUGCUAGAACUGUUCUUUCUUAGGCUGAAAAUGCUUUGAUACAUAGACCUAAAAUAAAGUUUAACAUGUUUAACAAAGUCAAAAUUAUGUGAAAACCACAGAUGAUUAUUUUUAAAUUUUCUGGUGUCAUAGAAAAGUGAUCCCUGCCCCAAUACCUUCACAAAAAUAAAUGGAACAAGGAACCAAUGAGUUAUUUAAAGGACUCAUUAACUUUCAUAUGACCCUAUUUGUAAUUGAGACAGUUGUGUCCUAGAAGUACCCUACCAGAAAUGAUUAAUGAGGUUUCCAAAUAUCCUAAAUUGACUGACAAGGAAGGGAGUAAACCUGAGCUUUAGCCAAACCUGUGAGGCCCAGGCAAAAGAGGAGACUUAUGUCUUAAAUAAUUAAUGAUAGUAUUUAAUACUAAGCUUUUACAAAUGUAAUUAUUUUUCUUAAAGCUUAAAGAGCUGAACGUACAAAGUCAGUGAGGAGGUAAAUUUAUGAAAAAUUUCUCUUUAAAUUAUUCAAAGAGCAGAUUUCAAUACAGAAAUAUUUUUCUUAUUUAUGAUGUCAAUGGACUUUCCACAAAUGCAUUGUAUAGGACAAAAUAACUUGUAAGAUAUUUUUCCAUUUCUUUUUCUAUAAAUUAGUUAAGAUUUUUUCUAUAUCAUCAAAGUUUAUAUGACAAUCUGUUCUAUUUGAUCACAGUUUAUGGCUCAUUUGAAUAAAUUAUAAUUAGACCUCUUCCUCUGUUACCUAAGGACUAAAAUUAUCUGCAUCAGUGAUUAAAUUCUCACUAUUUCUAGUGUAAAUUUGCUACAGUUAUUACUUAGAAGUAAAAUGUUAAAAAUGAAUUUGAGAAAAUGUUAAUAUCGCUAUAUCUUUUUGUAAAUUAUCUUUUUUCAAACUUACUGAUCAUCAAAAAAAAUUUACUGAACUUUGGAUGUUACUUUGUAAUUAAACUUAAGUUCUUAGGCAUGGAUAGAUCAUCCUGGAUUAUCCAAGUAAAUCCUAUCUAUUCACAUGAGUUCUUAAAAGGAAAGAACAUUUUCUAGCAGUGUUCAGGAAGAGAUGGGCUUGUGUGAAAGAUUCAGUUUCUUGGUGCUUGUCCUGAAAUGUAGGCAUCAUAUGAGGACCAGAGAGAGACUUUGGGAACUGAAAAAUCCAAGGGAAUGAAUUCUCCCCCAGAGCCUCCUCUGAGGAACUCAGUCCUGCUAACACCUUAACUUCUUACCUGUAGAAUGGCCACAUAGUAUAUUUGUGUUGUGUUUAACCAAUAAUGCUUUAUUAGUUUUUCACAGUAGCAGCAGAAACUUGACACUCAUACUAAAUCCAUUUUAUUUUCCUGAAUUUCUUGAUGGCUUCUAUUGAAGUGGCCUCACCCUUCUUUCAUGCUUGCCCAAAAUGCAUUUGUAAAUUGAUAGUUUGAGCAAACCCUGGUCGUCUCUGAAGAGCACUCGAAAAGUUUUUCCGUGGUCCAUACCAUAUAGGGGAACCCUGAAGGGUCAUUCAUAAAGAGCUCAUCCAAAUUAAUUAUGUUGCUAAGCUGUAUUGUGAACAUAUCAUAGGAGUGAUUCACAUUUAUCCUUCUUUUAUGUCUUCCACUGUACCUGGGACAAUGUACAUUUUUAUUGCAUUAAAAUCAUCUGCAUCAAUGAAAUAAUAACCGUUUAAAUAUUUUCAUUGUAAGAAAAUAUCCCUUCAUUUCCAUUUGUUGUAUCAUCUUUAUGAUUUUUGUUAUAAUGUAAAUAAUGAAAGCAUAUUUCAAAUCAGUCUCAUUUAUUUGGAAACAUGUUGGACUAAAUAUUCUGAUUGCACAUAAAACCUACCAUGAAAUUUCUCAUAAUGCCAUGUACAAGAAAUAAGAUUUUUGAAGUCUAAUGUGUUAAAUUCAGUCUCAUUCCAAACUGAUAACUUUCAUUUACAUUUUUUAAAUUUGAAUCAAAAUAGCCCCAAAUUAGUUGCCAAAAAAAUCUAAUUUAUGUUUUUAGCAAUUGUGUGUGAGUCAUGCUGCCAGUGUUUUUGCCUUCCUUCUUACAAAUUGUGCCUAAUUGGAAAAUACUGUGAGCAAUAAAAUAUGAAGAGAAAAGCCACCAGUACUUUGAAGUUUAUUGGUUACAAAAUUGAAUGGGUUUUCCCAUUUUAAUUUUGAUGAGCAUAGAGCUUAAUUUUUUUCCUAUGCUUCAGUUUCAUCAUUUCAUUCUAGUUUUGGAAUAGCUGGUGAUUUAGGGAAUAUUUUUCAAGACCAGACCACUUCCUCAAAUCCAAGCUUUGUUCUUAUAAAUAGAUACAAUUAUGUUCAUAUGUUUGGUAGAUGAAUCCAGUAGAGUGCGUGUUGAACAUAAUCUCUCAUGGGGAGUUUACUCAAUUCUUUGGAAUUUCACUCUUGAAUUUGAUCAAUGCAGACAAUUCAUUCUGAAAAAUAUUUUUUUUUCUUGAUGACAACAGACUUUUCCCAUAAAUAUACUUCAUCUCUAAUGUAUAUACUUAAGUGUACUAGACAAGUUUUGGAGAUACAAACAAUAGAAAUGUAAAUUAACACUAUUAGUUAUAAACUCUUAACUGUUAAAAAGUUUAUUUCUUGCCCAUUUGAUGAACAAAGUGGCAUAUUUGAACAAUGUAGCUUGGUAUUUACCACCCAUAAUAACCUCAGUGAUGUUGCUUUUCCCCUCAAAAUGUCUGAUUUAAAGAACUUGUUCAUAUUGCAAAAAUUUGUGUUAUCUCCCCAGGAUUACAGACAAGGAGCCAUAGUAGAUAUAAUUCUGUCAUUUGCAGAUUCUAUAAUGGAGUGGCUAGUCCAGUCUCAUUGAUCUCACAAGUACACUUUUUUUUUCCUGCUUCCUUAUACACUGUCAGUGUACUUUAAAAACAAUCACUUCUACCGCAUUUACCUAGUAUCACCCAUAUGAAGCUAUCAGUUCAUUAGUCCAAUUAUUGGAAGUUUGCUGUUUUGAUUUUUGCAUUAAGUCAAACACUUCUGUGUUAAUAUAAUAUGCUUAGAUAUAUUUUAAUUAGAUCAUUGUGAUGUUUCUGAUAGGACAUUUCUAAAGGAUUAUUUUAAUACAAUUAUAAUUGCAAAUAAAUAUGAAAAUGGGAAAAUAAGUGAAAUGCCUCUAUACCAGAGGUAGUUUUUAGUAACUUAGUCAUUGUUCUUUGAAACAUGCUGUUGUACAUAUUCAUACCCAAAUACACAUUCAUGUAUAAUAUUUAAGACUAUAUUAAAUACAAUUUUAUAAUUUUAUUCUUAAUAAUAUAUUAUGGAGUAAUGUUUUAUAUACUGUCAGUCAUUCACACAUGCAUAUAUAUGUAUAAGUAAUAUAGAUAUAUAUAUAUAUAUAUACACACAAACAUAUGCAUGCAUGGAUUCCUAAAAUAAAUAAGAAAUAUAUGUAUUUAGUAUGUAUACAUCUUAAGUGAAAUAUUAAUAUUUUCUAAUGAUAUGCCUUUUUAAAGGAUAUGCAUGUUUUCCAUUUCCACUUUUAUUAGCAGUACUGCUGUGCACAUCCACAAGGAUGUCUUUGCAUACAAUCUUAUUGUUACUACUUGAAGGAACUCCUUGGAAUGGAACUUUGGGGCUAAAAAUAUAUACAUCAAUACAUAGUACCUUUAAGAAUUCUACUAUUGGUUUUUGUCCCCAGUGGCAAUAUAGUGUCUUAAAGUUUGUAUGAGUUUCAUUCUGUAUUUACAGUUUUUCUUCUCUCAGGUACUGCCCAUGUGAUGCUGCCUGAAGCUCCUUACUCUCCCCUGAUCUCAUGCCCAGGCCUUCUUGAUUAUACUUUCUCUGUGACAGUUUUACUCAGGCUCUUUCUUCAAACUUGAGGACUACCUGGAUGAACUUUUCCCUAUAGGGAAAAUUUCAACAACUACUUACUUUUUAAAAGAUAAGAUGAAAAAUAGGGAUAAACUGUGCAUACUAAUGAAUUUAAUUGAAACUUUCUUUGACAAUAAUAAUGCUUACUUUUAUUUGCAUUGUACUGUGCAAAGAACUGGAUAUGCAUCAUAUAAAUAAUUAAAUGCUACUAUUAAUAUCUUCCUUUGAAAUAAAAACCUGAAUCACAGAAAACUUUAAUUAUUUUCCAAGGACAAUUAGCCUAUGAAUAGCAAAUUUGUGCUUAUAUCCAUGGUUGUAUGAUUCCAGUUCUAUUCUUAGCUACCAUGAUAUACAGUCUGCAUUUGGAGGUUAAUAAAUAAAUUUAGAACUUUUUCAGUAAUUCAAAAACAUCAUUCAAGAAAUUAAUUUUACUGAUAAAUUAUUAUAUAAUGAAGAUUUUAAUGAGCCAAUGUUGAUUUUAUAUCAUUUUAGUAAAUAUCUUUUAUUAGAUCAUAAUACAAGGUCAUUGAUCCUAUUCCUCAUUUUUCUUAUAAUGGUAAUAAAUAUUCUCUAAGAGAAGAAUCGUCAGAAGUAUGUUCGUAUAAUUAUAAUGAAGUAAGAAUUUAGGUAAACUUGUAGAUAACUAAUUUCUUGUUAUUUGAGAAAUUGUUCUCCUCCAGGUUUAUUAAUUAGCUGACGUGCCAUAACAAGCCAUUGUAAAUCUGAUGGUUUUAAAACAACCCUCAGCUCAGACAGCUGGGUUCAUUUGAUACAAGUUCAUUUUAGCUUCUUCAGGUUAACUGGGUUACUGACCUGGUCUGGGGUGAGCUGGGAAGUUUGACCAGGGCUUCUGCAUCACACAUAUUUCUCAUGACUUUUUGAGGACCAUAUGGUUAGCCUAAGCAUAUCCAUCUUCUGGCUAGAUCAGAAACUCAAGAAAACAAAUGGAAACACAACAUUCCUUUUGAGGCCUUGGCUCGCAGCGGGCACACUGUAACUUUUGUCUCAUUCUGUUGUAUCAAAUUGGUAGCUAAAGAGUGAGAAAUAAGAUCUUCCCAGUUGUGGGAAGAACUGAAAAGAUAAAGAACAUGAAGAUAAGAAGGAGGGAAGAACUGGGGACAUAGAGUAGCCUACCACCAAAACAACUGCAUUUUUAUUUGAAAAUAUAUUCUUUUUUUUCUCCAAUUAAAAUUUCAACCUAUACUCUAAAUUAUUUGAUCAUAGGAUGCAAUGCAACUCAAUUUCCCAAGGGAAGGUGGGUUGAUGCAGACUUUCUGGUCAGGUUAUUUCUUCCUAUGAAAUGAUAUUGCUCAGAUUCUUUAAGAGCCUCUCAUGUGUCUCUCUAGGUUCAGUUUUCAGCACUAAAACCUCUCAGGCAGUGACUCAUUGGACUAGUCACCACUAUAUCCACCCACUCAACCUCAUGCCACAGCCGCUGAAUCCGAAGCUGCUGUGUCACAUUAGCAUGAAAAUUGUAGAAUCUAGAAUUCCUAUUUAACUUGUGCCAAGAAACCAAACCUUAACCUUAUAGUAUAAGGGGAACAUUUGAGAGUAAUUGUCUGUAAGAAAAACAGCUUGUUUGCUGGGGAACCAGAUCCUAAGGUAACUAUUACUCACUCACAGUGAGUUAAGCAGAAAUUGGAGGACGGACUCACAGACCAGGAGGAUGACUGAAGAUAGAAAGCCGGAAAUGUCUGAAGCAGCUGAGGGGGGUGAACAGAUUUCGUCUAAAAAGAUAAGACAGCUAAAUAGAGAGUGAGAAGACAUGAGCCAAAUUUGCACACACAAAUAAUGGAAAUAAUCUCUAAGAAUCCAAUUUGGGAAGAAGUGAGGGAGAUAAGAGUGCUUUGAGUGGCUAGUGAUGAGAGAACACUGGGUUUAGCGAUGCAUGAGAAAUAGACCACUGUUUCUAAGGUGCCAUAGAAGAGCUCACCAGCUGGGAAGGAAUGUUCUUUUUUUAAGCCAGUUUACUAAGAAAGUUUAGGUUUUUGUAAAGGUCAGAUAUAAAAGAAGGUUUUUGUUUGCUUUGCUUUUCAGGAUAUUUUAAC
This 86622-nucleotide long non-coding RNA is filed under the name Marmota monax (woodchuck). Lineage: Eukaryota; Metazoa; Chordata; Mammalia; Rodentia; Sciuridae. The record is from RNAcentral.